This 68343-nucleotide long non-coding RNA is filed under the name Spirodela polyrhiza (greater duckweed). Its description in RNAcentral is "long non-coding RNA (SPOL_LNC001157)". The record is from RNAcentral. Lineage: Eukaryota; Viridiplantae; Streptophyta; Magnoliopsida; Alismatales; Araceae.
UAUAAUAGAAUCACGACUUUUGGUGUGACAGACGAAACUGAUUUGCUGGCUUCCUAGAUUUCUUUCCCUUCCUCUGUUUAUCAUUUUUAAUAAAAUUUGAUUUAAAUAGUCGAUCUAAAAUUUCUGGAGACGUGUUUAGAUGCUGAAGAUGUAAUCAGUAAAAAAUCAGUUAUGUUGAAGCCGAAGAAAAACCUGAUACGUUUGGGGGCAUAGAAGCAUUAGGGUCUAAGAAAUGAUGAUCAAACUUCCGGCUUGUGGUUUGAGAAUGUGUAAACAACCACGAAAGAUAACAAGUGUGGAGAGGGACAAUGUCACUGAGACCACACUCAAGAGAUGGUGGCAGCUUGAGAGAGAUUGUUGAAAGGGGAAAUGGGGAGAGGAAGUGGUAAUAUCCCUAACACGGGGCUUGGAGGGUCCCCCAACCUCCCAAGUUCGUUCCUCCCCUGCCCUAACCCUAAACCCCCUUUAUAUAUAGCCGACGGUCUGGUCUGUUAAAGUGGGCCGGGCCUUGGCCUUUCUUCAAGAGUACAUUAGGCCCAGUGGCCUAACAGAAUGAUGGUACUGGAGUGCAUUAGGGAUAAGGCCCCUCCCAUUGAUACAAUGUUUCUUUUUCUUUUUUUAAUUGUUUGGAGGGCAUAUUCACUUUACAAUGACAAAGCAGAAAAGAGGAAGCAAUUGAUUAUUUAUUGAGUUAUUUUAGGUUCUUCUCUGCUGAUCCUUUUAUAUCUUCAUCUUGAUUAUUGUAAGCUUAACAACAGUGCUAAUACCUGGUUCGUUAGAAGGAAAAGGGUGACGCUAAAAUCUCACAGAUUUUCUUCUGAUCAGUUAUCUAUAUAGAUAUAACUUCCUGCUGGUCAUAAGUGGUUCCAUUGGAAAAUGGCUCCAACAUUCAUGCUACAGUCAUUAAAAUAAGUAAUGUUAGAGUUACCCAUUUUUAUUCAUCUUUUUCUUUGUUAGGUUAUAAUUUAGGUAUACAUUUGUCAGUAUUUUCCCUAGAGAUAAAAGAUGACUAUGAACCGAGCUUAUUGCUAUAAAUUUCCACAUUGAAACAUCCAUUUUACCUGUGUUUCAUUGGAAGGAGGAUUAUGAUGAUCAUGUACUAUUUUGUUGUCAGGUUUCCUACUAUAUUUCACAUCCACUCUCUUAGCUACAUGCAAUGGAUGGCUAUGUUGGUCUCAUGGAUGUGGUUUUAUUCUUAUGGGUAUGUACCUGGAGUUCUGUGUUCCUCUUCUAUUUCAGUAAUGUUUGCCAAAAAUUUAAUGUCAAAGGCAUCCUUACCAUAAGUUUUUAUCUUGCAGCUUGUCCACAAAUUUUGUUUCUAGCAUCCUUCCUUCUGCUACUCUCAUUCUGGUAAUAAUUCAUAUGCCACCCAGUAUGAUAAAUGUUCCAACAUAAAGUUUAUAAUAUUUUGCAUUCAUUUCUCAUGUAUUUAUAUCAGCUUGUAACAUGAUUUCUUCGGCAAUUGCCUUUACUUUCAUGUAAAUUUAGUUUGCCUACUAUUUUGCCUGUAAAUGUCUGUCAGAUGAAAUGGAAUAAGACAGAAUCUUGGUUGACGUUGAUGGAACUGUGUUUUUUAAAUAAAGAAUCGUGAUUCUGAUGGAAGCGAAGAGAGUUUUCCAUUUCUAUAGUUAGUAGCCGUAAUGCUUUUAUCUGAAAGAAAUUAGAAUAUUCACUUGUUUAAAAGGUGCAGGAACAUAAAUUAAUAUGGUACUGAGCCAGAGAAAUAAUCCUGUAUAGCAGUCCAGUGUGAAAGUAAAUGGUGACAAUAUAAUGACUAUCCCCUUGUCUUUUGUCUUUUUGUGUGAUGCCCUUCAGUUGGGUGACUUUAUCUGAUGGAAUUUUGAACACAUUUAUAAUGUAUCUGAUAUGGAACGUACUUUUCUUUAUGCUUUAUUCUAUCUGUAGCAUAAUUUGAUUAUAUGACAUAACCCUCCUUGAUUAACACUUAUAUUCCUUGAAAAAACUGGAGUCUUGUUUCAGGACAGGGAAGAGAUUUGCUGUAAUCAGUCUGGUAUUGCCUUUUUUCUUGGAAACCUAUUUGAAAUCCUAGUGGUUUAGGAUCUGAAUUAUACUGUUUUCAGUGUAGCAUCUUCAUAUUUGCUGAUAGGUAUAUAAGUAGGGUUGCCUAUCAUUCAUAAUUUAGGUAAGUAGAAUGAUGAUAGGGUCCUAGGACAGUGGCUUCAAACUGAGAGGAAUCAAGAAAGAUAACUCAGGAAAUGGAAGGGAAAAUUAGAACUGAAAUAGAGAAGAAAGGAGGUAGAGGAGAGCUUCCAAGUCAGUGUCGGGGGUGAGUUCGAGGGCCGCUUCAAGCUCUCCCACUGACUUCUUGUAAGUCCCCCAACAGUAGGGAGCCCUCAGGGUCCUACCCAUCCACUUAAUCGGCUCUUUGUCCCAUUGGCCCUCCUGUAUUUUACUGGCGUAAGUCGCCUGGAUAAUGGGCCUGGUAUGUUAGUUGCUUUGAGAUCAAGCCUUCUGCACGUCUCUGAAGAUGCAUAUGUUAGGAUAGAAUAUACUGUAACUGUUUGGUUGAGGUUCUUACUAGAUCCUGAUAGUGUGUAUGUAUAGGAAAUGAGGAAACUUUUUUUGAUUGCAAGAUGGGUUUACCUUUUGGGAAUUGGAAGGAUAGUGCGUUCCAGGACAUAUUGUUUAGUUUCUUAUUUUGGUGCGAGUAGCUUAGGGCCUUUUUGAGAGAAAUCGGUCCAAAUUAAUUAUUCCAGUUUCUUAGAUUUAAGCAUUACAUGCAACAAUGCAGAGGAGCUUUGAUAUGCAGUUUAAUAAAUUGCUUGCUUCCCCUUUUCAUUUUUCUAGCAAUUGUUUGUAGGGUGGACCUCUGUCAUCAGGCUAGUGAUGAAGAUGAUGAAGAAUAUGAUAGCUACACCGAAGCUCUGUUGGAAAAGGCAGAAAACGAAGCAGGUUCUUCACAUGUGGAUACUCGACGCAGAUUUUGUUCAUUCUGUUCAAGUCAUAUUGGAAACCGUCAAAAGUUUGUAAUCCUGGUAUGCUACAAAAAUGUUUAUUUGUUAUAUUUCCACGUUAUUUUUGCUUAAGUUUCUUGAAAUUUGUGUUGACCAUCUUGAUUGGAGCAUAAAAUGGUGUUCUACUUAACGUUAGUUGUACUGUUGUUGUAGGUGAUUGUGCUGACAUUUCUUUUCAUGAUUGCAUUCGCAAUGCUUAUCUGGGUUGGGAAAGGCAAAAACCCCAUUGACUCCUCACUUAUGGCUAAGGUAAGAAGUUAUUUUCCCACAUGUGGCUUACACUUUUUUCUAUUGCAAAUUGAAAGAUGAGGAAAGACAGAAUGGUAUCUUUUUAUGAACUUUUGAGUUUCGUGUGCCUAAUAAUUUUGUCAGUUUUCUAUGAUCCAAAUGUGUUAUAUUUCGUAACAUAUUUCUUGUGAACAUAUACGGUUUUAUAUCUCCUAAGAGGCAAUCAAUAUGGAACUCAUGUUCUGGCUUUACUGGAAGCUUUUGAUACAGAUCGUAAUGAAAAGGUCAUAUGUUUCUCUCGGUUAAUUUGUGAAAUAGGUGAUGACCUUUCUUCCCAUCUGAAUUGUUCCCCCACGUACCUUUCUUCCCAUCUGAAUAUGCCCAUUUUUGAUAUUUUACAUUUUAUAAAUUUUAAUUCGCAUACACUUUCUUCUUAAAUAUACAGCAUCUUUCUUGUUUCUGUUUCUGUAAUAAAUUUUUGUCUAAAUGUUUUAUAAUGCCAUCAUAGCUGCUAUGUGAAUACAAGUAUCUAAUAAUGAAUGUCACAUGCACCUUUAUGUUACGCCAGUUUUUCUAGAUGUGUCUGGCAUCAGCCAGUAUUCGUAUAAAAGCUUUUCUUGUAGAUGUUUCUGUUCAAAUGGUUUUUAACUAUCUUUUAAUUACAUCGAGCUCAUACUGUCCAUUAAAUCAGAUUUCUUACUGGUUAUAUUACUGACCUUGAGUGUACUAAAUUCCUUAGUUGAUCAAGAGCUCUUUAAUCCGUACAAAAAUUUGUUUUUUCAGUCGAAACCAGGUAUAGGUGUUAAAUGUUGUGUUAUGAGUUUCUUAACGUUUGUCAUUUUUAUUUGCUUUGACAUUUCAGUUUUAUCUAUUGGAUGUAUAAUUCCUGAUUUUGUUUGCUUUGUAACUUAUCUUAUGCAGGUCUAUCUAGAUAUCUUUUCCGUAGCAAUUUUUACUCUAGGCGGGGCUUUGGCUUGUUAUGGUAAGGAAAUAUAUUCUCAAUGGUGUAAAAAUCACAUAAAUAGUAAUUCAGCUAUUCUAUGUAGUCCCAUAACUUUGUAUACGAUGAAAGUUCGUUUAUUUUCCAAGUACAUCAAUAUCCUUCAAUAACUGAAACUUUUCGAAGAAAAAAAAUGCCCUAGCCACAAUAUCUCGUCUAUACAUCUGUUAUCAUGCGUCAGUAUUGCAAUACUCCUGAAUUGUCUGAAAUUGUCUAAAGCAUGACGUGUCCUAGCCUGGAAUCGUCUGAGCUUGGCUACGUUUAGGUGACAGUUGUAGACCGCCAAAACUAAUAUCCAGUUGACAGUAGGAUAUGCCUUGCUUGAGAGGGCUUCUUGGAGGUUUCUUCUGAAGGUAGAAAAUCCAUCAGUAAAACAAAAUUCACAGCUACAUCAAGGAUUUAGGUCAAUGGUCAAGGAGAACAUGCAACCCUUAAAUCCAUCGUGUAAAAUUGAUAAAUUCAUAGAUUCUUCUAACCCAGAACCCUGGUCUUAGUGCAAUACCUCUGAUCAUUUGGUUAAAUUCGAUCCCCAUCAAAAUCAGUGAGAUAAGUACUUUUUAACUGUAUUAGAAGGAUUUUGUUGCACACGUUUUGGAUCAGAGUAUACCUGCAAUAAAAGACAUAAUCAGAUUCUUAAUUUUUAAGCAAAGAGUUUGCUCUCCUAAUUUGAGAAAGAUAUUUAAAAUAUGAAAUUUCUUAUAUUUUUUGUAUUAAGUUUAAGAUUAUAACUCCAAUAGGCUUGGGUUAUUUUGAAAGAGUGACCUUGCUUAAUGAGAACUCUUCUUUAGAGCUCUGAUACCAUUCACCUAGGCUGAUUUCCCCACCAUGGAUGACUCUUCUACUAGGGUGUAUGUUCUUAAGCAACAUAAAUUUAGAAACACAAACAGGGCGAUAUUUUGGUCUAUGAAGCCCCAAUGCAACGAUUGAUUACCUUAGCUUGUGAUGUUUUUAAGUUUCCAAAGCAACAGCUUGUUCCCAGGAUAGACUACAUUUCUCUCUGUAAAGAGGCUCCCUGAAAACGUUUGAACGAAUCUGCUAUUCAUUUAUCUCAAUUUAUUUGUAAAGCUGCAGGUUUUUGGUUGCCAUUGAUUUCUAGCUCCCACUUAUUUCUGCUCAGCCUAAUUUUCCAUUGGAUUAUGAGGCCAUUGAAAUGCUUAUCCACUGCAAAUCUGGGAGCUGUAUUCUGCUUGGAUAGGGCUCAGUGCUUCGGAUGAUGCUGUACUCUUUCUGCUUGUCCCAUAAAUGAGAUGAUUUGAACUGCCAUCCAUUUAUUUUCUACUUCUAUUGAUUUUAGUGAUUUGAUGAGUUAUUACUUUGCUACACGGGGAGUAAGCAGAAGUCUACCUUUGAUAGUGAAUGAUAUACACAAUGAAUCUAUGCAGUUUUUUUACCCUUAGAUUAUAACAUUCUUCUUCUUAAAUCGUGUGAUAAGCUGUGUUCAAAUUUUGUGGUUGUCCCAUAUAGGAGGGCUACUUUUCUCAAAAAUGAGCAAAGUACGGUCUGAAAUGGCUUCAACAGAAAUGUGGAAGGUAUCUUUUUAUAAUCAUUGAAAAUUAUAUUUUCCAGUUCAGAUGAGGCAUGAAUGAAUCUAGUUAUUUCCAUGUAAAGGUAUUUCCGAUUGAAAGUUUAUGGGAAUUGCAGGAUUGAAAGUUUAAUUUGGCACUAUGCAUCUUAGUUACCAGCCGUUUUUACUUGUUUCUUCACCUCACUCUGGUCAUUUAUUGUGGUUUGUGUAACAUCUUUUCUAUUAACAGGUUGCCAGUUUGGCUGCUGUGACUCUUGUAUGUUUUACGACAAGUGCACUAAUAGCUCUUAUUUCUAAUGUUCCCGUAAGUUCUUCAUCAGCAUUUUUUUAUUUAAUUUCAGGUAAACGUAAUAUUUCUGAUUUGGUUUAAGUCUUCAUUUCUUGCCGUAGGUUCUCUAUGACCACAAACCAGAUGCAUAUAGAAGAAGCAACCCGAUUCCAUUAUUUCUAUACUAUUUUGUUGGUAAGUUUACAUAUUUUCAUUGAACCUAUGUUAGUGACCUGGUAUCGGGGUUGAGCAUAAAUAUGAGAAUGUUCAAUGCGUAUAAUGCUUCAGCUGUAUUGCCACUUUACAUGGUCAGGAUUUACUUUUUGCUCUAUGCUUCGUUACAUAUUACAUGUAUUCUUUGGCACCCAAGUUUAUCUUUGUUGUGAACAGUGGCACGAACCUUAGGAGGAUAUGCAGACGAAAAGCUCAAACUCGUAUUCACAUCAUAGAUGACUAUUAUAUUCAAGUGCCAGCGCCAGAAAACAAGGAAAAAAAUACGUAACAAAUAGGGAAUCAGCAAACUAGCAAACGAACCAACAAACCAGGAAAUGGUCCAACUAAGAGCUGAACUCCUAGUUAUACAUUCUUUUCCAUAAUCUUCCCAAAACGAAUUUGAAAUUGUAUUGAAGCUUGGGUUUCUUGGAAAUAUUCGGUAUUAUUAUUCCAUUCAUUGCUUAGGUUCUUGAUGCUGCUCCAAAUAGUUGCAUGAUAGGAACAAUCUUCAAAUAUACGGGAACUUUGGACUACAUUGGCCCUUUAUUGUAGAUUGUUGUGGUUAAAGGUUCCUAUUAUCCUCUGUACUACGGAUGCUCUGAAAUUGAGUAACUGGAAGGAUUGAUGGCACUGCUACACUUGGGUAUCUACAAGAGUCACGGUAGCCAUUGAACAGUCAAGCAGGUUUCUAGCUGGAAUACUAUAUAAUCUCCAUUAAAGAUGAUAAAUUCUACGUAUGUUUUGGCCACCGUGGUUUCUUCCAGGGUUGGACAGUUAAAUAAAAUCCAAUCAUUACUCGUACUCUUCAUCCUGCACACUCUUUUUUCUCGAUCUGCCACUGAGCUCCGUUUUCUCUUAACAUAGAUUUUGGUGUUCGCCUUGCUCCUUCCCAAACGUACUGCAUUAUUUCCUGUUGUCACCUUUGUUGCUGCCCAGCUUUUAUUUUCCACCAUCUAUGCCAUCGCUCUGCUUCGAAGUAAGUCUUUUAGAAAUGUGGGCUCCUUAGAUACACACCCUGAUAAAAUUUUAGUUGCACUUUUCCUUCUAUAUCAUCCUCUAAAGUUUGCACUACUGUGCGCCAUUUCUUCUAUUGGCUCCUGUUGGCCGGUCUCUGGUUAAUUAUUCACAAGUGGGCAUUAUGCUUGCCUUUGCUCAUACUACAGCAUGUCCCCGUGAUGUGCUCUUCUUACCUCUUCUGAAAAUGGCUUUCCUUGAAUACCCCAUGAGGCCCCCAUUGUCCUUAUUUGACCUUUUCCUCUCUCUCCCAGGUUCAACGCUGCCCUCGGUGUUCGUGCUCUGGAUAAUGCGAGAGAUGCCUCGGCAGGUGAUUGACAGAGAGGCCCGGUCAAGAGUGGUGACUUUCGUCAGGGAGAGGUCGUCUUCAAAGCAUCACCCACAACCCUGGACUACAGCGACGACGUCAACAAACCAGGUCCGGUCCAUCGUCGCUAGAACAUCCAAAGAUCCAUUUGGGUGUCGCUCAAAUGAUUCUGGUUGAGCGAAUCAAUUCUCGCAUGUGUGUGAACUUAUCCUCUGCAGGCCUCCAGAGCAAGCCCCGCAUGACAUGCAGCCUCUCUCCCUCGAUUUUCCUUCAUUUUGGAGGCUCGAGCUGUGCGCUGCCUGCCUGCCUGGCUUGAGCCUCUGAGUCUGCCAAUGGCCGCGUGGAGGUUGAGGCGUGGAUCCUGGCUGAAAAUGGCAUCCAGCCCAGGAAGCUAGAUCCAUUCUUCUUCACUUUCCUGAAUGAUGGAGCGAGCCUGUUGAGCCCCUGAUCCCCAGAUUUGUGCCAUCGUUCAUAAUCUCUGAAAGGUCCUCAGUAGCCCCACGUCAGUGUAAAUAUACCUAAUCAGCCACUGUGAUUUUUUAUGGUGGGAUACAUUCUUCUCCCUUUUACUUUGUUAAGGUUGUGGAUCGCUCCAACUGUUCAAUCCCAUUUGGGUAUUUCCGAUAUGCAUGGAGCUCUUACUUCUUACUAGUUGUCUCUUAUGUUGGUCAUGAGCUUGGAGGAGAUGGAGAGAGAGGCCAAGAGUAGGUAUAGCAUAUUGUAGAGGGUGAUUAUUGUAGAGCUUUUAAGAGGGGGAUAUGGGGAGCAUGAGCUAGUUGAUAUAUUUUUUACCUCUUGACUUGAGUAUUUCCUUCAUGUGUGACUUGCAACUUGUCACAAACUUUCUUCGUUGUCUUGAAGGUCAUUACUCUAUUAUAUUCUUUUACAUCUUAGCCCAUUUGUGAAGAUGUUUUUGGCUUUGGUAUUGAGGGAUAAAAUUUUCCCACAUUGAUUUAUGAAGAGAUAUUUAUUAACUGUUAUUGGUCUAUCUACAAUAAUCUCUCAUAGUUGAUAAUUCAUCUCCUAAAUAAAUAAUUUCAUUUUAUUUUUCUAAAAAUCAUAAUUUGUUCCAUUCAAUAGGGGUGGUUGAUGUACUGAUCCUCUUUCUAAAUUGUAUCAUAAUGUGUUGGCGAUUGAAUUUACUCAAAGAAAUUUCAUUCUUGUAAUCUAAAAGUAGACUCUAAUAUCACUUGUUGGGAUUUAGGUUAGUAAAGAUCAAGAAGAGGGGUGAAAUUGAUCUGCUCGUUUUUUCUUUAAUAGAUUUAUUUCUAUGAUUUUUUUAUCACUUUUUUAUUAGACUGAUUUUAGUGGGUUGUGAAUGUGGACUCACAAUUUAAAGUGGUUCAACAUCGGCUUAUCUUCACUCCUAAGGACACUUCAUGUUAUUGGGUUUCACUUAAUGAUCGUUCAUAUUAUAACCACUUAUUCUACAAGUUAACUCCUUUAGGAUUUCAUCAAGAAACCCUCUUCUAGAUUUAUGGCUCUAGGAAAUCUUACAUCGUUAUUUUCACUUGACAACUCCUCAAGUGAUUAGAUAAAUAAUCACUAUUUUAACUGACAAAUAUAAAUCAAUAUCACUCUAGGUUUAUUUGGAGGAUAUGCUUUGAAGCACUAGCUUUUUGUAAUAGUAGAAGACAAAUAUACAUAUGCUUGAAUCUUUAUUUUCUUGUUAUUUUUGUCAAUUGUCACAAUAAUUUGAAGGUUUGUCAUAAGUUCGGCUUGAAGAUAAAGAAUAUCUUGAAUGCUCUCCUCAAAAUGAUUUCUUUUGAAUCAAUAAAUAGCUAGUUGACCCAUCCUCUCUCUCUCUUUCCUAUGAAUGCUUUACAUGAGGAUUACUAAAUACAGGAAGAAUAUAUAGAAGAAUAAAUAUAGUCAUUAAUGAUUGUUUAUUUCUAUUGGAGAUCAGUGAUAUUUAUAGAUAAAUUGUGUAUACGUUAUUUAUAAAUUUUCUAGGAUAUCUAAUGACUAGAUUCACUUAAAAUAUAAUUAAAUUUGAAACUUAUAUUAAUCCAAUAUAACAUGGCCUUUUGUUGUUUUGAAUAUUUUCUAAAGAAACUACUACAUGAAUCUUUUAACACAAUGUUUGUAUCUAAUGGUAGUCUAUUCAUAGAAACUUGAUAAGCAUCUAAUAUACAUUGUUAUGAACUCGAUAUGAUGUCUUACAUAAGUAAUAAUUUAUUGAAUUAAAUAAGAUAUGAGAUGUAAAUAUGCUUUGUAUUCUUCAAUUUCAAUGUCUCAAAUCAUGUUGAUAUUGGUCUGUAUGAUUUUCAAUAUAUAUUUAGAAAAUCCUAUUUGAUGAAUUCAACACUCAGAUUAAUCAUACAAUUAACUUGACAUGAAAAUCAUUCGAUUGUUAUAAUGCAAAGUCAUAAGUUUGUACAAAACUAAAUAAGCUUCCAUACUAUUUUUUUACUUUACCAAAUCUCAUUGAUUUGCUUAUUCAAAUCAUUACUCUUUUAACUGUUAUGAUUUCUAUAUAUAAUGACAUUCUCAUAUAACGACAUACAAUAUGAUUGAUUUUCAUAAUAUUAUGAUUUGAUUGUUCAUAUACAUAUCACAAGUGUUUUAUAUUUAAUAUAUUUUCACUUGUAUGCCCGAAAUCAUAACAUUCAUACUUUAUGUAUAUAUUUUCACAUAUUAGAUUAUAAUGAAUAUUAUAUAUAUGAUGUAUUUAUCUAUAUUUAUUCACAUAGGUUUAUUUUUGAAGUAUAAUUUGCUAAUUAGAUUAUUCUUAAUUGAACUUUGGUGAUUUUCUCAUCAUUAAGAUAUGAUGCCUCCAUAGCUCCAACAAUUCUUACUAUAAUAUAUGUGUUAACACAUCUACUAACAUAUAAAUAAUUUGAAUAGAAAUUUUAAAAAAAAUAAAAUCUUUUAAAAACCUCAAUUAACCUUAGUUUUAACAUUUCAACUAAUCUUAGUAUUGAAAUAGACUUUGAUAUUAGGUAUCCAACGUAUGACUAAAGAGAAUAGAAAGUCAACCUUAUUAUUCAAAAAGAAAGGAACAUCAAUAACCACUUGGAUAAUAACAAGGUUUAAAUUAUUAGAUAUGGCAACAUUAGUCUCAAUAAUCAUAUUUCAAGUGAAAAUGUAGUAGUUGUAAAAGGUCUAAUACACAAUCUAGCAAGUCUUAGUCAAUUGUAUAAUAACAGAAACAAAGUAGAAGUAAUAAAUGAUAGUUGUUGUCUCUUAAAAUUUGAAAAUAGUAACCACAUACUAGUCGAGUAAGAGAGAAUAGUGUAGAUGUUUUUCAUUUGCAUAAAUUAGUUUUUUUAAUGAAUGUUUAAGAACUAGUUAUUCUAAAAAUGCACUGAAAAUUUGGCAUAAACAUUUAUAACAUGUGAGCACUUUCACCAUAAAGAAAUUAUAGAAAUUAUAUUUAGUGAAAAUAAUUUAUGAAUUAAAAAUCAAUAAUUACUUUGAGUAUGACACAUAUUAAAGGAAAAAAAGUUAAAAAAUUAAUAUAUCAAAAUAUAUGAUUGUGCCAAGUCAACUAUUGUAAUUAUUGCAUCCAAAGUCCCAUGAUAUGGAAAAAGUUAUGAUAUUAUUUUGGGAACACAAUGAUUCAGCAUACAAAUUGAAAAGAAAGAUUUAAAAAUCCAAUGAUGAUUUUAAGUAAAUUAUGAAUGAUUAUUAUGGAGAUUUUAGAAGUAAAAUAAUUUUAGAAUCCAAUGAUGAUCAAGAACUUUUUUUGAACGUUUUUGUCUUAGAACGUCCAAACAAAGUGGAGUUGUAGAAAGAGAGGAUACAACUCUUUUAGAUAUAUCUAAGACCAUGAUAGAAAAAAAUAAUGUUUUAUUAUUAUUGGAUUGAAGCUAUAAAUAUUGUAUGCUCCUUUAAGAAGAGAAUCACGAUCAAGUCUAUAGUGAGAGAAAACGCUCUAUUUUUUUAGAAAAUAUUAGUUAUUUUGUUAUCUUUUGGGUGCAAGUAUUAUAUUGUUAUAAAUGCUUCAAAGGAAAUGAGAAAUUUGAUAUAGGGACUGAUAAAGAAACUUUAUAAGACUUUUUUAAAGUUAUAUCACAAUUUAGAAUUAGUUAGUUUCUGAUCUAAUUUUUGUAUUGUAAUAUUAUUUAGCCCAUUUUUUUCUGAAGUUAUAAUUGAGUCCCUAUUUGUUGUACUAAUCAAACCUGAAAAGUUAAAAAUAGUAAAUAUGAAAAAUUAUGACAUUGUAAAUAGAAAGAUUAGUUGCUUUGUCCAUGAUAAAAGUCAAAUAUCCCUGACUCAAAGAUUACGACAUUGAAAUGGAAAAUUUCAAUCCUAUUUGUUUGUACUAUUCAACUAAAUAUUCCUAAUAAUUGCAUCGUAUGCUAUAGAGCAAAUCAUAUAGCUGCAUAACAUCAUUUUGUUAUAGAUGAUGUGAAUAGAAAUGAUAUACAAUUACAACUUUCUACAAACUAUAACAUAAAACUUGACAUUUCUAGUGGAAGAAAGAUACAAUUUAGGAAACAUGAAAAAGAUUGAAUAUGUAGUGUUGCUAAGGUACAAUUUGAAAUUUUCUAUAGCUUCAAUAUAAUUAUCUUUUGAUUAAAUAACUUCUAUGAUAAAGGCUCUAAACAUAUCUGCUGACUUUAAAAGUACUAAAUCAUUGUUUUUAAACGAUUAGAACUAUUGUGGCUAGAAGAGUUGAUGUAACCUAUAUUCCGGCCCUAAAUUCACCUGGCCCAUAGUAAAACGUGCCUUAAAUGCAUUAUAAAUUAAUUUCCCUUUUUAGUCAUUUUGAAUUUAAUUAAAUGUGUCUUGAACUAAUUUUAAGGUAGCAUAAUAAUAGUGCUAUUUUCUUCAGGGCAGCCUAACAAACUUUCAAAAUAUUUAAAUUUCCCAUGUCAUAGAGGUAUUAUUUAGUAUUCAUGAAGUAUCUAUUUUGGAUAUUUUACCUCAUUAUCGGUUGCUUAUGGUCCCUCUCUUGUGGAUUCAAGUGAACUAUUUUGAUAUUGUAUAGUCACAAUCACCCAUUAUGGAUUUAAACGUCAAAUCAUCUUAGUUUUAAUCAUUUAGAGUGAAGAAUCUUCUCAAAAAUUUUGUUUUCUGUGAAUUCAAGGAUGAGAUUUCAUCUCUACUCAACUCCAAAUGUGUAAAAAAUGAACUAAGUUUAAUGUAUGUGAUUAUUAUAUUUGUAUGCACACACAUGUCAAUCUUGGAAAAAUGUCAACACAAUACUUUUGAAUAACGUUAAGUAGAUUACAAGAAAUAUGUUCCACGUUACUCACAAUUUUAGCAGGAUGCAACUUCCAAGGCUAUAACCUAGUAUUAUUUUCUGGUCUAAGUUGGUAAGUUGUAGAUGUAUCUCAGUUACACUUGCUACGAUUCUCUAAUGUCAGGUGAGGGGCUUGAGAACUGGAAGAGCACGGCUAGCGUAGUCGUCAGUGUAUUUUAGUCCGAUGUCGUGGACUUCACGCAGUUGUCGAGGGCAAUGAGGUCUGGAUCCACCGUGGGGCUGCUGGCGAAAUCCUAAAAAUUGGGUCUUUAUGAAAAUUGAAGUUCCGGACUGAAAGACUUGAAGGCGUUGGGGGUUUUCACAGUGAGUUUGUGAAACCUUCCUGUUUCGGCACAAAUUACCGGGUUUGGGCCGGAAAUACCUCCCGCGACCUGCUUGCCCUGCGAGAAGUUGGUCUGCCCCGCUCUCUUCCCCGUCGCCCCCUCUUCUCUCGCCCUCUCAGAAGCCUCAUGCUGUUGCUGGCAUGUUUACAUCUUACUCUCUUCGGUCUUCUCCAUCAUAAUUUCUUGCCGGGGCUUAUCCCCGGUCGAGCGUUCUGUACUUCUCCGCUCUCUGAGGCUUAGUAUCAUCCUCGAAGGUGUCAUCGCCACUCAUUCGUUCUGCAUGGGAACCUCGGUGACGUUAAGCUGGAGUUAUUUCUGACGUACGCUCGGUACCCGCUCAUAACUGUGGCGCGUCUCGAUUUUCAUAGAGAGAUCCCCAGGUUUCACUCUUCAACCAUUUUGUGAAUGCAGUAUUCCUAAAACUGGUUAAUUUUUGCUUUUUGAGAACGACCUUUCGGAAGACGUAAGUAAUUUUCUUAUAGUUCCCAACUGAAUAGCCAAUGCAAUUUCCUGCACAGUUCAUUGUCUGACAUUCUUAAACCUGUGCAUUAUAUCUUAUAAAAAGUGCUGCAUAAAUACCAAAAAGAGAACAGCCUAAGAGGGAUUCAAUAAACGACUCCAGCCAUCUUUGCUCAUAAGCAUUUUCCAUUACAUUGUUUGGAAGUGGAAGAGCCAUCUGACUAAGAUUCACCAUGGUUGCUAUUCUAUUGAUCUUUUGGCAAAAUAGUGCAAAUUUUCUCUCCCAUUUCGUGAAAAAUGGGAGAGAAAGAACUUUAUAUUAAUUAUUCAAAUGACAGAAAAAAACUUAUUUAGGAAGAAUGCACAUGUUUAGCAGACAUGUUGCUACUUCAUGCUAUGUCUUGAAAACCGUUUUUCCUGUUGUUUCUUUGAAACGAAAAUUUUGAUCUCAUCUUCUAUAAAAUGGACUGCUAUGGUCGAAAGACAACCCGUUGAUGAUUCUCAGUCAUGGCUGUGCAGCAGUUUCCAUGAAAGACAUUACUCGGACAUUAAUUUCAAGCAACCGGAUGGACUUUCCUUCCUGGACAUCGCUCAUACGGGAGAUUGAGGAAACAUCCGCUGUAUGCUUCAUUCUUCCUUUGGCGUCAUUGUUAUAAAGUUUCGUACAGACCAUACAUUUCAAAUAUGUUUAAGAAUAGUUACUGAGAAAUCAUAAAUGCAGUGAGAAAAUGAAAGAUGAAGUACUCAACUUAUGUCUCAUUGUUCACAUUUAAAGCUAUUUAACUAAUGUGAUGCAGGAAACCAGUAUAGCACCGGCGAGCUUUACAUUGUUUAGUCAUCUAGGUCUAAUUUUGCGUUAUACCUUUGUCACCUUCUCUGUUUUAUAGACUCUUAGGCUGUAGAAAGCACAUUCAAUACCAAGAAAGCCCUUACAGAGAGAGUCUGACAAAGCAGACCGUCCAUUGAUGACAAUUUACCUUUUCUAAUUGAAACAAGAAACUUACACGGGCUGGAUCCUUGUUGAUAUCUAAUUUUUUGGCAUAUUGGUUAUGCGAUAGCAUUGGCUUUAGAAUAAAAACCAUAGGUGCGCGAAGCCAAGUAUAAGCUCAUGAACAUAUAGCUGUUGAAUUUCUUCACAGUACCUACUUGGGUUCUCACAGAUCUUCAAGGAUAACUUAUUAUACUUGGCAGGAGGAAUCCAGUAUAUGAAGCCUUUGAAUGGGGUUUAAAAACACAAUGGUUCUUGGCUAUGAUUUUAACAUUCAAAAUGUCUCAAGCUUAAAGAACCAAAGAAAAAAUCUCUCAAAUGCAUCAAUGUUCUCUGAAGUCUAUGGGAGUCUUCAAGUCCAAUUAUUUUGACCACUCUUUGUGGAAUCUGUAAGUCUAUUCUGGUUGAGUGAGCUUUGCAGUAAAUAAGGCUUUGCUUAGUUAUAAAAGAUUGCAUAGUACAAUAGGUUCGGUCUAUUUGUUUAUAAUUGUUAAAUUGACGUGAGUACUGCAGAAAAUAUCACUCUCUGGGCUCGACAGUGGAUGUGAAUCACUGUUAGCAGGUUCCCUAAUUGGUUUUGAUUAUUAUUAGCAAUCAGCUUUUUUUGUACUCUGUACUUAGCACGAGCAAUUCAUACUCACUUCUUAUUGAUAAUGUUGGUGAUUAGGUAUGGCGGAAUAUAGAUAGUUAGAUCCACUUUAGACCCUCCGCAGCCUUUUUCUAUGCAGCAUGAUUAAUAAAUAAAGUCUGGUAGGUUUAACGCAUGCAACUUGGAUGGUAUGUAGUGCUUCCAGUGGAAGACUGGUGAGUAAGGUAUAAGAACGUGAGAGAAGAACAAAUCACCGAUCAACUUUUCCUAAGAAGAAUUGGUUUUAGCCCAUGUGUUGACUGGCCAAUGCCCAUAAAACUACAACUUCAAAGCAGUAGGGAAUGCACAGCACUCUGCCUGGUAGUCUGCCUACCAUAGCCUUUAAAUCCCCUGAGGGAGUCCUCAUAAUUUAAGUUUCUCAUAAAUUAUAUUACUUUUCUCUGGCUGUCUUGAUGGGGCCCCCCCUUUUAUCUUGUACACGGGCUAAGACAUAUUCCCCUUAUGAUAUCCCCACAGUGGAAACACUGCUGCUAUUGCAACGGCCCACCCACGGAAGCCAUCAUGUGGUCAGUCUCGCCUGGUUCCUUUUGCUUCUUCCUAUGUCCACCUACUGCUGUCAUUCGUGGUCCAUGGACAGUGCCAUUGGAUCUGAAAGUAACAUGCAAGGAACUGUCAUGCCACACUGACAGCUCCUUUUUGACAUGAAUCGGCUUUUGUGAUCUAUUCAAUGAGAUCAUACGUUGGGCUGUUCAUAUGUGAUGAGAAACUUGUCUGGUCAAGUUGGGAAAAUAGUCAAGUUGAUCUCUUACUUUUUUGAUGGCAAUUAUUACUAUAGGUAUGAAGCUGCAAGUUCACAAAGAUGGUGGACAAUGUAUCCCCUGGAGGUUGUAAAAUACUGUAAAAAUUGUGGAAAAUCAAGGAAUAUUCAGUUUACACAUCGCACUAUUGACUUCGAAAGACAGGAAACAAGUAUAUGAGUUGGAGGUAGUUGGUGUCAAAGUGCUCACUGAGACCUUUGUUAUCUAGGAAGCUGCUUGAUAUGGAUAUCAGUUCAUCAGGACUUGUCCAUAGCGUGUAAUUUCUGCUGAUCAGAUCCAAGUUUUGCACAUCUAUGGUGAAAUCAUUGCUUAGGUGAAAGCCCAGUGAUAAUAAUAAUGAAAUUAAUCAACAUGGAUUAGCUGUGUGCAUUUUAGUAUAUUUUGAUCGAGAGAUAAACACUAUCUUAACUGACAGAGGAAUGACAAAUUAUUCACGUGAAAAGAGGCCAAGCUUGGGAAAGGUAGGGUGAUGUCAUCCAUGUAUUGUUAGUGCAUAAUCACUGUGGCUAGGGAAGUACUGCUGAAGAUAUAUUUGAAGGGUUGAUCUUUUAUUACUUUCUUUUUCACUUGAAAAGCCAACUAGUUUCAGAGCCUGAAAUUAUAAGAAUUAAUCCUUAAAUAUUCUCUGAUGUGAACGCUCAACUCAACUCUCUGCUGAUAUAGAUGCAUACAUUUUUAUGCACAAAAUCUAAAACUCAGACUUGAUGCAAAUUAAGAGCAAUUUCGUGGUGCAACACUGCAUCCUAGGUAUUAAGAAUAUUAGACCUUCAAAGUCAACGGCUUACAACCUGAAAGAUUUUUAUUUGUUGUCUUAUUUUUUGUCAACUCUUUAUUCUUCUAGCAAUUUUUUGAUAAAACUACCUUGCUUUUGAUUUGGAGUUCAAGUGAACUAAUUUUCUUUUUUGUUGCUUACAUUACUGAUGUAUUUUGGAUCGAAUGAUGAUCAUGACACACUCAUAGUCAUAUCAGUUUUAUGUUUUCUAUUACAACUACAGGAUGACAGUGGUGCCACAUCAAGAGUUUAUGAAUCCUUUUUAUCAGAGUAUCCUUUGUGUUAUGGUUAUUGGGAGAAGUACGCAAACCAUAAGGCACGUUUGUGUUCUGUUGACCAAGCGGUUGAAGUUUAUGAAGAAGCUGUGAAAGUAGCUACGUAUUCUGUUAAUCUAUGGGCCAAUUAUUGCAGCUUCGGUAUGCAAUUUUAUGAAGAUCUUGACGAUGUUCGAAGGUAUUAUAUAUCUUAGUAAUCAUGGUUAUGUUUUGAGAAACAUUAAUUGUGAUGCUUAUUUAUUCAAUUGAUGAUGUGAAAACAGAACCUUUCAGUGACAAAUGUUGAAGCAUAUGGAAUAUUGGUGAUAGAAGUCAUCCCAUUAGUGAGUUUAAUAAUUAAGGUGUAUAAGUACGGUUGCUAGUGAAUUGACAAGCACAUGAUGAGCAGUAUCUUUUUUGGAAUACUGUAAUUUCUUUGUUUAUUCUGAUGGUUACAAAAUCACAGUUUAUGCCUACUGGAUUGAGAUCUUGACAGUCGAUUUGCACUUUUCAACACAUUGAAUUAAAAUAGAGAGGAUGAUGCUCCGAGUUGGCAUAGGUGUUUAAAAUACCUAUUAUUCUCAGAAAUAAAAGAACUGUUGAUAACAUAUCUACUGGUCUCAACAAAUCUCAUUAAGAAUUAAAAUCAUAAUACAUAGAAGUAGGAAUUAAUCUAGGUACAAUGAUAAAGUUGGUCAAUGAAUGUGUUGUAAUAUUGACAGUUUACAAGAAAAGAAUUAGGACUGUAGACUUAAAAAUUAAGUUAUUCAGGGCUUAGUAUCGAAUGAACUGGUCAGUAAUCUUCUUGAAGAGUUUUGUGGAAAGGAAAUCUUAACGACAUUAAAAAUGCAGCUAAGAUGGUUGUGCCAUUUAUGCAUCUCUCCAUCCUGAAGUACUGUCAUACCUUGUAAAAGACAAGAAAACGAAAAUUUCAUACGGUUAUAGAUGACAGAGGCCUCUUACUUGAUGUCUAUUUUCAGUUGUUUCAUCGCCAAAUGUCAAAAAUACACUAAUUAUGUAGGAAAAGGGUAGGAUGAUAUAAAAUUUUAAUAACUUAUGAUUGAAAGAGGGUCAGCAAUGUGAGAGGAAAUGAAGAACACUGGACGAUGAUGGGUGAUCAAAAUUUAAAUCACGAAAAAGAUGUGUAAUAAUACCGAGGGUGAGAUUCUUCGUACCUAUUUCAGGUGAAGGUGUUUGGACGGUCCCACCUAAAUUGUGAAAGAAUCUUCUUGAAGGCGGGAAUAUUAGCUGAUGUUGUGCUAUUACGAUGAGAUUGAGAAGUAGCUGCUACUAGUUUGAUUUGGUGAUUCUCCUUGCCACAGUAAAUGAGUACUCUGAAGAGAUACCAUGCUGAAAUACUCUUCUUCGAAGGGGCUCUAUUGACAAACGUAUUCUGUAAUUAAAGAUCAAAUAAAACUAACAAGUAACAUCAUCUUAGCAAAUUCCUUUAAAGAUGUCAUUUAGUUUUCUGAACAGGUCUUUACAUCUGUAUGAAUGCUGUUGUUGAGUUUUUUUUCUACCGUGGCUUAAUUUUCAUGUUUCUUUUGCCAAAUUACCUUUAUGAAUGGAUUCUUUUUCAAGCUGUUGUCCGGAUGUGUCUAGUACCCAUCACGUGUCUUCCUUUAUCACUACAUGUGUGUGUGUCUAGAACCUUCUGAGGGGGCUGAUAUAAAUACCAGACCCCCCUCUCUCUUGUAUGAUUGAUUUUGUUUGAAUAACAGAUGAAAUUUUCCUUUCUUUUUCUGUGCGUGAGUUACCAUACAGCGCACAGAACUUGAUUCAAGAUUCUACAAAAACGAAUAUGUUUAUUGACUAGCCUGUUUAUAUUUUUUCAAGUACUUUUUAUUUUGUCUUUUUUGGUCUAACAGCCAUUUCAGAUCAGUAUAUUCAGCCAAUCAUUAAAUGCGGUUCCCACUGAUCUUGUUAACAUGCAUUUGGUAAAUGAAUGUGAAUCUAUUUAAUUUUUUUCAUGAGAAAAGAGUCAAGGUGGUAAGGUCAUUGUUGGCUAUAUAUAGUUAAAAAUAAUUCUUCUUAUAUAUUAUUCCCUUUUUAGCUGUUGCACUUUUUUAUUCAUCGUUGCUAUCAUCAUUAUCCACAAAAUCACUUUGACCGGGGUUGAGCUUAUGAAUCCUGUUGUGCCAACCUACGCUAUCAUUAUCAUUUUCGAAUUCUAUAGGUACAUUUACUUUUUCGGCCCUUUCUGUGAAAUUAUUGUUAAACCAAGAGAAAAAAGUGGAGAUGUCCAUUCCUUUUGUUAAUUUCGUUGUGUGGGCAGGUUGUAUGAAAGAGGUUUGACAUUUGUUGGAAAAGAUUACCUAUGCAACACUUUAUGGGAUCAGUAUCUUGCAUUUGAGCAUUCUCAUAAACAGUGGAAUCGCCUUGUUGGUGUUUACAUUAAAAGUUUGAGAUUUCCAACUAAAAAAUUGCAUAGUUAUUACCAGAGGUAUGAUUCCUAUGUUUUGACAAUUAUUUCUAGUUUUAAUAAUUAUAUCUUAUAUUUUGAGAAAUGUUUACUAUCUGAUCCGUCAGCUUCAAGAAGCUUGUUACCAGCCUGGAAGAAGAAAUUAAAUAUCAAAAUAUUUGGAUGGAUUUAACAGAAGGUUCAGUAGCCAAUGAGCUGGGAGACUUGAAUACUGUUAAUGAUUCAAGAAUCAGAAGUAUUAUCAGUUUUCUUCUUGAUCAGCCAGCUGCCCUCUAUAGAGGUCAAACGCUUAAGACAAUUUUGACAAUUGGGGAAUAUUUCUAUCGGAGAUCAUCUGACAUUGAUGAAAAGAUUAGUUGCUUCGAAUCUGGGAUUCGAAGGCCUUAUUUUCAUGUAAAGCCCCUUGAUAGCAGUCAGCUGCAGACCUGGCAUCGCUAUCUUGACUUUGUUGAGACACAAGAGGAUUUUGAUUGGGUAUAAUUUCCCUAUUUUUCAUCACUGUUUUAGUUAUUGUUCCCUUUCGGAUGGACAUCGACAAUGUCUAUUUGCUUUUAUUUACAGACUGUGAAACUGUACGAGAGAUGUUUAAUUCCUUGUGCUAAUUACCCUGAGUUCUGGGUUCGCUACAUUGAACUUAUGGAAGCAAGUGGAGCUAGGGAGAUAGCAACUCACGCAAUCGAACGGGCAGUCACAUCUUCUCUCAAGGUAAAAAGUUUAAAAGGACCUAAUGACCCUAUUUCGUUCCCAAUAUAAGUUCACACAUUUUUAUAUAUUUCGUCAAGUUAUGUUCAACCAUUUCUAGUGCGAUGGUUGUGUCCUAAUCCUCAUGAUUUAUUUGUUGAUGGUGAAUUUGUGCUAGGUUACAUAUAACUGAGGAGAUAUAUCAACCAUGAUACUUGACAACACAGUACUUAGAGAUAGAGUGAAAGUAGGUGUAGAAAACAAGUCUUUUUUGAGCAUUACUCUUUGGUUUGGAUACACCUGAAUCUUAAUUUUUUAGUUAUGCAGUGUGUGGGUGCUGUCUUAUGUCAAGGUCUGGAUAGUUGGGAAUUUGUUUCUGAACUUCUGGGUCCUAAUCCUAUCCAAGGUUGGAAUGGAGUGGCCUAUCUGCUGUCUAAGGAAUCAUAAAAGUUUUAAAAAUUCAGAAAAUAUGAAAAUCAUGAGAUUAUUCAAUGUGAUUUUAAAUUACUUCCACUUUAUAUCUAAAAUGAAUAAGUAUACUAUGAAUUAAAAGGAUCAAAUUAGAUGAUAGUAGAUGAGCAAUGUGGUACAGAAAUUAAAUGGUAGAUGUACUAUGUUAGAGCAUGAGUAUAGGUAGAAAUUGUUGGAGAUUGUGAUGCUGGUCCUAUUUGGUUAAACAUUUUGAUCACUAUGAUGCAAGCCAUCAUUUCUUGAUACCUUUCAGAUAUGUUCUGAAAUGUGAUUGAUUUUACCUUGCUUUCCAUAUUUGUUGGUCUUCCUUUUAAUCACUGUAUCCAUACUUGCUAUUGGACUAUGAAUGUGUAGUUCUAGACUUUGAGGUAAUUAAAUGAUCCUCUUUGUCGUUCAAAUGCACAUAGUUUUGUUUUCUUGCUUUAUUUGUUCUUAGCUCACUGUGCUUUCUUGCUUAUUGUAUAUGUGAUCCCACUUGCUUAUGGUGUAGCAUGUACUAAAUCAUCCUUCUUUCGCUAAUAUCACUUUUUUACUAUUACCUAAUAAGGUUCUUUUCUUUUUUUUUUCUGUUUGUCUUCAAGGACAGUAGAGCCACAUGUUUAUUUUUUCUUUAUCAUAAUUGACCCUUCGUGUCAAGCUAAACUCAAGCACAAAUACUGAUAUUGAUCAUUGAGAUUGAUGUACUGAUUGUUUGCUAGUCAGGAGAAACUCAAUUUUCAGGUCUUUCCAUAAGUUUUUUGAAAUAAAAAUUGAAGGUAAGAAAUGUAGGCUAUUGCAGAGCUCCUUACCUAUGUGACCACUGCUAGUCGAUUGUUGUGUUAAUAUAUCAGUCCAUUUAUCAUCUAGUUCGUGUAUGGAUAUCAUUUGAAUGCACUGCCAUGUGAAUGUCGUUUAAUAUCAUCUAUAAAAAAUAUGUUGUAGCAAAGGUCCUUUUUCCGUUCACUAGAUACAAGCGAAGUUGAUCACUUCUCAUAACCUUUAUGAUAUCGAAUUUCACCGAUUUUCUCAAGCAAGGCAUAUCAUAUAUUAAUCUGAACAACUGGUUGGAUAGAGCCCUAAAUGACCUUUCUAUCCUGGAUUCAGCUUACAUCUACAUCAGGAUCAAGUACCUGCACAAAUAGGAGGGAUGGUGUAAAGGUUCAAAAUUUUCCAGUUCACUGAACCGAAGAAUACUCAGGUUAAAUACUUCGAUUCCAUGUGAAAUAUCAAUCUUUGUAAAAAAAUUUGAGAUAUUCUUUGCCAACGAAAUCAGUGAGGACGUCACUAUGAGUCCCUGGAUGCGUCAGAGCUGCUUUUGGGAUCUUCUUCUUAAGCCUGGUUUUUGUACAAUGAACCUCAGAGAUGCAGGGUAUGCCACAGGGUAGAGUGGUUGUGCCUAGUGAAGCAGUUGUGCUGCUUCUGAGCUGUGGAAAUGGAUGGCAUUGUGAUGCAGGGAUGGAAGACAGAAGAGAAGACUCUAUCACUGUAAAUCUAGAUUGAGUUGGUCAGGUUUCUAAUACUCGGAUUAUCUAAACCUUCACCGCCAUGAAGUCUGCUUGCUGUAAAUCUCUUUCUUUAAUCCUAGUUGCCUUGAAUUAGUAGUCUGCUACAUGGUGUAUUAAGGUGGCAGCUGUUAGAAGAAAUAUUGUCGACAGAUGUUGGAAUUGGAAGACAGAAGAGAAGACUAAGUCCCUAUGUAUAAGACACUAAAACAAUGGAGGAGAAACUGAGGUUAUUCACUCAGGGGAAGGAGCUCAUCCAGGAUGGAGUCAUUUACUCAAAUUUUAUGGGUUGAUGAUAAAAUGAGGUUAACCGAUAAAUGUACAUGCUUGCCUGUAGUAUGUAAGGAUGGGUGAAAAUAGUUUUCCAUUUCAAUCAUGCUGCUCACUCUUCUUUCUUUUCAUUAAGGGUAUUGACAAUCUUAAAAUUAGUAUAUCUACUAGAUAGAUUUUAUGAAAUGGCAAUCACAAUGGAUCAACCUCUCAUUUGACUCACUUGCCAUUUUGGUUAUAUAUGCUUCUUCAUGGAAAGCAGAGAGUUCCACAGUUUCGUGAAUAUUGUGCAAAGGUCAAAGAGCGCAUAGGGGAUGCAUCCGGUGCACGUAGUUCUUUGCAGUACAGCGAUACAGAGUUACUGUCCAAUUUUGUUGACAACAUCAAUCAACAAGCAAACAUGGAAAAGCGUCUUGUAAGAAAAUUUCUUGUAUUUAGUUGAAACAUCAUCCAGGUAAAAUUGAGAUGAUCAUUGAUAAGUUCGUUUUUCAGGGAAAUAUUGGAGCAGCUUAUUCAAUCUACGAUAAUGCAAUUCAAAUGCUUAAAGAUAAGGAGGAUCUGCACGUUUUUUGUCUUCUCCAUCUGCACUUUGCCAGAUUUGCUUACUUGGUGGGGACUUUAGUACAGUUUGAGAGAAAUUAUCUUCUCACGUUAUAUACUUGCACACUACUAAAAUGCCUGUGACAUAACCACGUUACAAGACUGAAGAAUGGACUUUAUUCUUGACAUGGAUAGUUAUUUUAUACUGGGGCUCAUAAAACGCCGUAGUACAUUUUUCAUUUUCUUUCUUGAAUAAUUAAAACUGAUUUCUAAGUAUAUUGGUUGUUUCUGUUUACUUUCUACGUGAACAUCAAGCUCGCGUUAAAAUGAGUGCAACUGAACCUAAUGUCUUGAUAAUCUAAAUUUAAUAAUGAUUUCAUUGGACAGCUCAGAAUGUGCCGACUUGCAAUAGGUUUAGGUGUUAAACAACAUCUGUUGUUUAUAUAUAUCAUGUCUAUGGUAUGAUUCGUUUGUGUCGAACAUUGUCUCAAAGGAUUUCGCUGUAUUUCCUCGGUUUGAAGAUGAAUCAAAAGGUGGAAUCAGAUUGCGACUUUGAUAUUCGUUCUUUGGAUGAGGACUUUGGAUGAAUUUUAUGGUAUUUUACUCAAUUCAAGGAGAUUUCUUCUCCAGGUGCAUUGUAUCGUUUGUUCAGGCUUGCCAUACUGAAAAUAAUAAGCAUAUGUUCUCUCCACCUUAUUUACAUUUCGUUGGUAUUUCUGUAGUCUCCUUUUGGCAUGGUCUUUUGAUGGCUUAUUCUUUCAUAAUAAAGUGAAUUUUCCCUGCCUUAAUAGCCUAGGGCCACUCUUGAAUUUUUCUAAGUCCUUCGUGAAAGGGAAACUUUCUAUUUUUUUUGGCGUUUUCCUUAGGGAAACUGUCUGUUUAUUUGAGUCUGUCAGUCAGGUCUCCAAUAACAAAAAGGGAGUCUCGUCUUCAUUGUAAACACUUUUGAAUGAAUGUGGCUUAUGGGCCUAUAUCCUGAAUGAUUAACUGGGAUACUUAUCGGAGACAGUGUGAGGUUAUGCUCUAGUUGAUUCAGUAAUAACAAUUCUACAAUGAAGGAUACUCUUAUUAAGAAUUUUCUUGAGAGAGAACGGUAUUCCAUUUCAUUAGGAUUAUCCGUCAGCUUAAAAAUAUAUUUUCAUUUUACCUUUAGUUCAUGAACGUGUCUGGAAUUGUUCCCAGCUUACUUUAGCACCGCUGAAUAUUUAUAAUAAAAUGAAUUUAAUUGUGUAAACGUUCAGGGAAUGUAAAUACUUUGAAAGAUGAUUCAAUUAAGAGAAAUAAAGAUCCAUUGUCAACAUGGUAUCAGAGAAAUCUGUUGUCAGCAUUGUCAGCAUUGUCAGCAUGGUAUCAAUUCUCUGUGAAUAAGCGUGAUCCCAAUUAAUCGAAAAGAAUGCUUUCAAUAAGAGUAAUCUGUUGUAUUUGGUGCACAAAAUUUAGUUCGAGUUCUCAAUAGGUUUGGAUCAUUAAUUGCUUUGUUCCUGCUUCGGAAUUUCAUGACAAUAAUGUACAAGGAGACAGUUGGCAAUUGGGAAAUAGUUGUCAUACUCAUUAUCCUGAUCAUCUUUGGACUGAAUUCUACUUAUAUGUCUAUUGCUUUUCUGACCUAGAGUUCCACAUAAUUAUUCUGCUUGAUUUGUCCUGGCUAAAAAUAAAACUUAAUAAAAACAGAAAUCAGUUCAAAAUAUUUAUGUUAUCUGAAGUCCAUUCACGUCGUCAAUUACCGUGUACAUUCACGUUGACCAAUUGAAAGUGAUCAAUCUCAAAGCUUCCUGAGGAAAAAAUAUGAUAGUAAAAUUAUAUAUCCACGGAUGAUUCAUUUUUUUGUUACUACCGGUAUGUUCAAUAGAAUUAAUUUUCGAUUUUUCUCAUGCCUAUUAUCUUUCAGGUAACUGGUGAAUUAGGUGCUGCCAGAGAGGUUUUUAUCAAAGGGAUAUCAAGGGCACCUCACUGCAAAUCACUUUUUGAGGUUAUAUCAUUGAUCUCUUUUUGUGUCAAUUAAAUUCGAUUCCUGGCCCCCGUUUCUCUCGUCAACAAACGUUUUUCUCCAAAGGAUUUAACAGUCUGGUAUCAAAAGCAGGGGUGUUAUGAAAUGCAUGCUGUUCAAUAGAAGGCUACUUUAAAGUAUUUUGAAGUGUAUAUAUUUAAUUAAAAAAUUGUAUGUAAAAUCUGCAUUUCGAAUUUUUUUAAUGGUUAUAUUUUUUCAAAAAUCAUAUAUUAAAUUACCGCAGUUAUGCUUUUAAACUUUUAGUUUGAAUUUUCCUUGUUCUCAAAAUAUUAAGUCCCUAAGAAAUUACAUGUGUGUGCUUGUUAAAGAAGGAAUAGCCAUGCUAAUUGCAAGAGGGGCAAGGACGAAGAAGAGGAAGGAAAGGAAGUUAAACGAAAAACGAUCAAAACAUGACAAAACAGCAAAAGGGCACCUUUACGAAUCAUAUUUUUUGCCCUUUUAAGGGCAGUCAGUUCCUAUGUUUCUGUUCUUAUUAUAUGAUUGAUUAUUCUGUUAUGAUCUUUCUCCAGCAUUUAAUUUUUCUCCGAAGUACUUUGACUGGCAACUAGAUUAGGAAAUCUACAGCUUUACGGUUCUUAAAGUCAUAGUUACAUGAAUUUUUGGUGCUCUCUGCUCGUAAUCGGGCCAUCAAGUUCUUUACUAUUUUUUUACUUGUACAGGGAUUAAUUACAUUUAUGUCUAUCCAUGGGGGGACAGGAGAAAUUGGUUAUGUAGAUUCUAUUGUGGAACGUGCCAUAGUUCCAGAAUCAGGUGUGUCACUUGCAUUAAGCCUUACCGACAGAAGGGACGUGUCUAAUUUGUUUUUGCAGGUAUGCCAUCCUAUGCCAUUUGUAUUAUUCUGCCCUUUCUGUUUCAAGGAAAAUAGCCACUUCCCAUAAUACCUCACUAAAAAUGAAUCGUUUGCUGGGGUGGGGCCAUAUAAAGUAAGCAAAGCAGAGCUUUCUUCUUCCAGUUUCCAACGCACCAUGUGACGCUAGGGGUACUUAUAAUGCCAGAUAUCUCUGCAAUAUUUUUCAGUCGAUUUUGGAUUACCUAGUGAAGGUUUGAUUAAAAUCUUUGCGCCGCAGUGUCACUAAACAUGAAUUCUCAGAGGAUGCAGCAGCCAUUAAGACUUUCGUUUAAGAAUUUAGGGUUUUGUGAUUAAGAUUUGGGCUUUUCAAAGUUGAUGCUGGAUUUGCCGUGGAUCUGUCCUAUGAAGUUAAUGAUCCACUGUUAGACAGUUUCUACAGAAUUCAUCUCAAUUGAUAAAGCUGUGCUAGUUGGGCUAGUGAUUCUAUUUCUGUGCAUCUUGGAAUCAUUUUACUUUUUAUGAGGGCGUCAUCUUCUCCAGUACAGAAACUAUAGUGUGAUUUGUGGGUCAGCAAAAUAUUGCACAGCGAAUAACGUUGCACAGUGACCAACCUUAGGCCGGUAUGGGCACGCAGAAAUGGAGGGGCUGUUGAUCUGAUGGCAUGAUAUUAUAGUUACCCGCCUCGGCCUUAAGCUUCAUAAUUGAUGUUGAUGUGUGCCAUAUAUACAUGGGUUUAUUAUUAUUAUUAUUAUUAUUAGUUCACCCUUUAUCACAGGAUCUGAUUCACUGACAUUCAGCCUUGUGGGUAGCGAAUCGCCGUCAUUGUCCAGGUGACUAUGUGUAGAUAUUUUAGUGUAAUUUUCUCAUAGAGAGUUAUUUUCCAAACAGUUUGUGGACCUUUGUGGGACGAUCCACGAGAUCAGAAGGGCCUGGGCUCGACACCUGAAGCUGUUUCCACCUGCACAAGAAGCUGCUCCACUCGGUCGCCGUGCCGACGGUCCUGAGCUUUUGGAGAAGACCAAGGAGCUGACUGGUGCAGGAGACCCCGAUCUUAAGCCUGGGACAGGUCAUGCAGAUAGAGAGGCAUCAACUGAAGAAGAUGAUGCCCGCUCUUCAAAGAGAAAUCUUCUCCUCCUGCAGGAGGGGCCCGCUGCACCGGCCACCAAGUCUCAUCCAGCCGUCGCUGGUGACAGUACAGAGGGGAGCCCAGACCGUUCGCGGCUCCCCAGUGAAGAAGAGGAGCAGGCUAAUCGUUUUCAGGCUAUUCGGCUGCCUGCAGGCGCCGCUGUGCUGCAACAGGAAGCUCAUUCCUUCUCUUCUCUUGGUCCUGCUGCUUGCUCCGUACGCGGCGGAGGGGAGCGAACCCCACCGCUGCCGGGCUGCAAGACUCAGGACGAUCUAAGACCAUCUCUGGAGAGCCUUUCCAUAUGUCUUCCUGAUGAAGGUCAGGAAUCCAGCCCGAGCUCUCCUCGCAGAGGCCAUGGAGCUCCUCAGCCCCCCUGUGGGGAGAGCGGGCGCGAUGUUUGCAGUGACAGUGAGGCUAAAACAGCCCAACACAGGGCAUCUACAAUGCCAGCUACACCGAACAGUCGCACGCCGGAGCAAAAUCUUCGCCAAGAAAAAGUAAACGCCUUUGACAUAAGCCAACUGCCUGCAGAAGAGGCCGCUGAUCCCAAAUAUCCUCGGACCUCUGAAUGGCACUAUGGCGGGCAGCCCUCUGAGCUUCAACCCAGCUUAUCUGGAUAUGCCCAAACUCCACAGCAUCAGCAAUGGCAGGUUCCUAUGCAAUUUCAGUAUCUUCCGUACUCUGGAUUUAAUCCACAAGCUCCCCCACCUCAGGCAUACGCGUAUCAGCCACAGUUUUGGCAGCCAAAUAUCCAAAUGCCCGGCCAGAUUCAGGGCCAGUAUCAGAUGACUGCGGGCCAGGGAUUACCUCCCUGGCCCAUGUUCUGGCAAGCACAGAGUCUACCACAGAGCGGUGGAGAUGGAAGUCAGCAUCAAAUAUAUCAAUAUCAUUUGCAGGAUGGCCACGCUAUCUCCCCUGAGUUCUGGCAUUACUACCAGCAGCAGCUGUAUUAUAUGCAGCAUCUGCAGCAAGGUAGCAUCCAGGUGCAGCAGAAGCAGGAGCCUGGCCCGCAGCAGAAAAACGCUCCGUUGCAGCAUGAUCCUCUGCGACAGCAACAACAAGAGGAGCAACAUCAAGAGCAGCAUCUUCAGCUGAACAUCCUUCAGCUGCGGCAUCUACAAAAAAAAAUGGAAAUGGAUCAUUUGCAGUGGCAGGGCCAGCAACAGGAGCUUCGCCAAGCCCAGGAUUCGCAUUUGCAGCAUCAUUCACAGCCACGAUGCCAACCAGACGACUCACCUGAGUCUUCACCCACGCAGGAUCCUCCAAAAACACGACAAGACCAGCUAGAGCAGUAUGUGCAGCACCAAUCCAUUCAGCAGAAGGAUCGGAUGAUCCUGAGCCGCCAGGAACAUCAACAGCAGAUGUACUUGCCACAGCUGCAACAACAACUGCAGAAGCAGGAGAUCGGGACCUUGCGGGAUGCUAAGACCUCGAGAGAGAGUUACAAUUUAGAGGUAUCUAUCACCUGUCUUGUCUUCGUGCUAUAUUGCAGCCGAGUCUUGGAAUCAGUUUCGAAAAUUUUGACCUAAUUCCCGACGUAAAAAUCUUCUUAGGAUAUUGAAUGCUCUCUUCUCCUGAUAUAAUGUCCUAGCUUCUUCGAUUGAGUAUCAGCUGUAUGCUUCUGUGAAUUCAAAAAAGAUUACAUCACCGGCGCAUGAAUAGAAACUAAUUGGGCCAUGUUGCUCUUCAGAUUCAAGCACCCACUCGAGUUGCCGAAGAAGACGGCGCUGUUCAUCCAAUACCUGAGCCGCCGAAUGCCCCGAUCCAAUGACCCGCAGGUGGGAGAGCAGCUUUGCAUUGGCUUCAUUUGUUACAGUGAGGUCCGCAUCCGGCCUUCGUUGCCCAAGUUCAGACCUCUGGUCCGCGGAUCGUCCGUCAUCCAGCAGAUAACUCGCGAUUUGAAGGCCAUUCUGAAUCUGGCAGAAGCAGCGUCGCCGUUCGAAGCCGCUGAAGCAAUCUCCAAGCCCGCGCCGAGGAAGAGCAGCCGAGCUUCUCCGAGAAAGGGGGCUCAUCGGGCUUCGUCUUCUGGCAGAGCUCCUCCCGAGUUCCCUCUUUCUUUUACUCGGACGACUGAACUGGACCCCGCGGCCCUCAAAUCCCCUAUAAUUGUUGGAUCGACCCCCCUCGCGGGGAUGGAAACGCAAUGAUCUUCGAUGCGAGGGGCUUUCCUGCAAGGAAGACCCGAAGAGCGACCCGGAUGGGAAUAGUCAACGCUCGCAGGGCCCCCGAUUAUCUCUCUCCGCGCCCCCCCCUUUGACUAUCUCCACACACUCCGAGGAACGGCGCCUCCCGGCGGAAUCCUGCGGCAGAUUCUCUCCCUCCCUACUCCGGUCCGGCCCGUUGAAGAAGAGGAAGGGUCGUCCCCAUCGAUCCCCACUCAGCAGAUCCGAAUAUGCCGAGGAAUGCUCUCUCUCUCUCUCUCUCGCGCGCGCGCGCGCGCGCUCGCUCGCUCGCUAGCACUGCGUCGGCGAGUCGACCCCGUCCUCCGGCCGGCUGCACAUUGAACACCCGCGGCAUAUCCCCGGGCAUAUUCCCGGGGGAGCCCCAGCCGGUCCUGCUGCUGCUCCUCCCCCCAACUUGCUCUUUGAAGACGACGCCGUGCCGUACUGUGCCGUGGGAGCAGCCAAUGCGGGGGGGGGGGAGGGCCAUUUAGGAUCGAUCCCCUCCUCUCUGACGACGGCGGCGCCCUCGUCCGAGCUCGCCUAGGGCGCGGGGUUCUUCCGGCUGGCUGGUCGAGGCGGCGGAGGAUGAAGUUCGGGAAGCGGCUAAAGCGGCAGAUCGAGGAGACGCUGCCGGGGUGGCGGGACAUGUUCCUCUCGUACAAGGAUCUGAAGAGGCAGGUCCGCCUCAUCUCCUCCGACGCGCCGGGGAGGGCGUUUUCAUCGCCGCCGGGGAGGGCGGCGGUGUUGGAGUUCGUCCGCAUGCUGAAUGCCGAGGUGCACAAGCUCAACGUCUUCUUCAUCGAGCAGGAGGAGGACUUCGUCAUCCGCCACAAGGUAGGGGAGGAGAAGAGAUUGCUGGACGGCGGCCGCGGUGCUUCCUUCUCCUGAUCCGGAUCGGUGGUCUCUCCGCGCAGGAGCUGAGAGACAGGAUACGCGCCGCGGAGGAGACGGUGGGGCCUGGGAGCGCACGGCCGUCGGCGGCGGAGUACGCGGCGGAGAUGGGGAGGAUCAGGAGGGGCCUCGUCGACCUCCACGGGGAGAUGGUUCUGCUCGUGAACUACAGCAACGUCAACUACACGGGUCCUCUUCCUCUCUGAUCCUCGUCAACAUAUCUCAGAUCCUUUAGAUUCUUUCCUCGCUCGUUCUCCAAGUUUUUCUAGCAGAAUUGGCAAUUAUCGUCGGCGAUGAUGAGGAAUCAAUCGAAUCUACCCUGGCCGCGACAGGGCUGGCGAAGAUCCUGAAGAAGUACGACAAGCGGACCGGGGAUCUGCUGAGGCUCCCGUUCAUCGAGAAGGUGCUGACGCAGCCCUUCUUCACCACGGACCUCAUUUCGAAGCUGGUGAAGGACUGCGAGAGCACCAUGGACUCGGUGCUCCCUUCCCCGCCGCAGAAGAACCUGGAGGGGAGGGAGCGCAGAGCCAGAGCAGUGGCCCUCCCGCAUCGGCGGCCCGCCGGAGUAUCGUCAGGAACACGGUCGCCGCCCUCGUGACGAUGCAGGAGCUGCGGCGAGGGAGCUCCACUUACGGGCACUUCUCCCUCCCCCCGCUGAGCUUCCCCGAGACAGAUCUGCUGCAGGCCCUUCAGCUCCCAUCGCUCAUCUCCAUUCAGUGAGUGAGAUCCAUGAAGAAGCGACCCAUUUUAGCAGACACCCCCCCCCCCCUUCUGGUUCCAGACGACGGGGCGUGACGGAGGAAAAUCAGGGUCGCCCGGAGAAAGGAGAGGCCUUGUUAUCGACAGUCAGUAGUUCUUCUUUCGACGUGCUCGUCGCGGGAUGGGGGCUCUGAAUCGCCUCCCCCUUUGCUCCCCAUUAACGCGCUGGUUACUGGAAGAAGAAGACCUCCCUCGGUUGCUGGUAGCCGUGUUGCAACUAAUUAAAUGAAUAUUAUUUUUAUUCCGAUAUCUUUCAAAUCUAGAUAUUUUCCGAAUAUUUUCAAAUCUAGAUAUCUUUCCUCCAUUUUAUUAAAACUUGUUUAUUUUUUAACUGGAAGAUGGGUUUUUUUUAUUCUGCGAGAUAAGCGCCCACUUUUUAUACUUUCUUUGAUUGUGAGCCUUCACGAGUACUGGUGGCUGGCGCUUGAGAACCUCCAACUUGACAUGGUCAACAGUCAAGGUUAGGCGCGUGCAUGGAUGAAACCACAAAAACGGGUCCAAACUAGAUGACGUUCGUCCACCUGUCGCUUCCACAUACGCGUAUGGGUAAGUUGACCCAAGAGAGAGAGAGAUGGUGACGUCACUUCGAAGUUGAGUAGGCUGCAAGUCAUAGCAUCCACAAAAGGUAGCUACUCAAUAAAGGUCGGAAUCGUCAAAGUGGUGCAAGCAUGUUGUGGGUUUUGCUUCUAUCAGAAUUCAUGUAUCUUUUUUGUAGUUUCAAGAAGAAGGAAAAAAGUUGCAUCUUUUGCAGCCUAAAGGGUAGAACAAGCCCAACCCAUGUUGCCAAUUUUCGUACAAUUGAUAUUUUCAAUAUAUUUUUUUAUUGAAUUUUAGGUCGUCUAACUACAUAGUGGUUUCCCAUCCCAUGUUGAAGAUUAAUCUUUUGUUAAAAAAUAAAAUGGCUAGCAAAAUAUUUUGCAUUAAUCAUAGGAAACCAAGAAGUCAACUAAAUUAGUUUCAUUAACUUUUUCAUUGAAUGCAUGUUGGGCUUAUUGAGGCCAAAAAGAAAGAGGGUAGGGCUAUUUAAUAUUCGGCUUUCAGAUGGGUAAAGUUGGAAAUAAAUUAGAUGUAACAAAUAAGGAACAUUAUAAUUUAGGUAAAGUGGGCUCCCUAUCGACAAUCAAGGUGAUAACACAAGUGUUGCUCAUAAUCUAUAUUGGUUCCUGUUUUAUUUCCCCACUCAACUCUUUACAAAUGUUUUGUCCUAGCUCAACAUUGUUAGGAACUCUUUACUUAAAGCCGCUGGUUGCCACUAAGAGAUUUUUACCUCUGUAGAGAAGAUAGUCUAUGAAAAAAAGCUAAGUUGAACCCUCAAGCAUUAGUUCCAAACCUUCAUUUUAGUUUGACGUAUUAACAUAGAAUAUAAGUUGUUGUGUUAGCUUCAGCACCCAAAAGCAUUAUUCAAUGAGAACUGAUUUGGAGAACCAUUUACUUGUCAUUGUUAAGGUUCAUAAUUCUCCUCAAAGCAUUAUACAACCUAGAUUGAGCUUUACAUAAUUACCUAUUGACUGUUUCUUCUCUCAUAUAUUCUGAAUUUUAAAGUUCCUCCUAUGAAAACCUCACUAUAUUUCAUUAACAACUUUCUGUUGUACAACCAUUCUAUUGAUAUCUUCUAAUCUUGGUCAUUGUCUAUUCAUGAUGUCAAAGCAUAGACAUACUUAUACUAUCAUCAAAAGUGUGGCUUAGUAUACUCCCAUAUUGUAUAAUGCCAUCUUACACUCUAUAAUGCCAUCUUAAAAAAUAUGGAAUCAAAGGUGUGGCUUAGUAUACUCCCAUAUUGGUGGAGGAUCUUUUUAUAAUUCUCAUAUGUUAAAAUUUAGAAUAAACUUCUCAUAAGUUAAAGCAAUGACAUUAAUACACUCUUUCAACUAUAAAAGCACAAAAAAACAUUUUUCUAUCACUCUUUUUUCAUCAACAAAAUUUAUUUGGGUCUCAAAACCUCAAUAAUAUAGUGUCAUAUUUGAAGUCAAUAUCUAUUACACAAUCUUAUAGGGUUAAGAUUUUUAAAAUAAUUGCAAUAUCAAUUCCAUAUUUUUUUAUAGAAAUUAAGGAAUAAUGAUUUUAUAGAAGGAACAGUCUAUUAGAAAUCUUUAAAACUCACAUAAUAAUGGUACUCAGUUUUAAAGUUAACUUAAUUAUACAACAUUGGAAUUGCAAGGAGAUGAAAAAUUAGCAACUAGAAAUCUCAAAAUUUCUAGGUAAAGGAAGAACCAUCAAACAAUAUUAUUGCUUAAUACUAUACCAUUAUCUCAUACAUCAAUAAAACUUUUUCAAAGAAAAUUGAAGCCUUAUCAGUUAUUUCUUAUCAAUUUAUUUUUUAAUAAAAAUAUUUAUUAUUUAAUGUAAGUUAAAAUUUUAUUUUUUAAAUUAUUUGUGUUUGUUCUACUCAUUUUGAAUGAAAUUAAAAUUCACUUUUUCUUGGUUGUAUAAAUAAUAAGAAGUAAAGCCUCUAUUGGUUCUUAUGGAGGAUAGGGAGAAUACAAGGAGGUAGGAGUAAAUUAUUUCUUUAAAUUAUUUUCAAAUUUUGGUAUUUAAUUAUUUCUUUUAGUUCUACAUUAGGUGAUUUGGCACAUACUCAAGUUAAGUCAAUGUAGACUAACUUGGAUCGACAUAAUAUUGAGGUAAUUGUUGAGUUAAUGAUUUUGAUGUUCACAACUAAUCAUGAAAAGAAAGAAGAAUUAUUUUACUAUGCUGGUGUAUAGAUCAAGAUCGAAAUCAUUACAUCUAGUCAUUUAUAUUUUUAAAAUAUAAUUUUCUAGAUAUACUAUUACUACAUUAAUGUUGUGGAUCAAGAUCUAAAUCAUUAUAUCUAGUCCUUUAUUAUUGUUAAAAUAUAUCUUAAGAAAAUAGAUAUCAACUACCACAUAACUGAGAAGAAAAAUAAAUCAGAUUACAAAAAAAUUAGAAAGAAAAAGAGGAGAGAAAAAAGUUUCUACUCACAAAUCUGUGUCAGCCAUCAAGAAAUGAAAAAGAAAUAGACACUAGGCUGACUUAGAAAACCUUGUGUCAACUCAAGUAGAAUUGGGAAAGAGAGGUGAUUCUUGAGCCAAAAAUAUUUGUGGACAGAUUCAAAAUUGAGGAAUAAAAUGAAAGUUUUCAGACCUAAAAAAGCCUAUGUUGACUCAUCCAAAAUUGAGGAAGAGAAAUACAGUAUCAAGUCAUAAAUGCAUGUGUCAAUCCAUUAAUAGAUGUCCCAUCCCAUCCAAAACCAAAAAGAGAGGAAGUGUGUAAAACAUGUCCUAAGCAAGAAAAGUUAAGCCAUUCAACCUAAAGGAAAAGAAGAUUUGACUCACAUAAAAUGCAUUUUGACAUAUCAAAAGAUCAAAGAGUUCAAAAAGUUGGUCAGCAAGUUGGACAAACUAACUUUCGUGUAGUCUUACUAGUGGGUCAAUGCAAGUUUUGACCUAGGUAAUUUUUGAUCAAUCAAAUCGUAGAUGUUGGGAUUGUAUAAAUAAACCUUCACAUGAUCUUUCAAACUUAAACUUAACAAUUUCUCAAUUUCACCAUAAAUUCAGAAAUUAUUCUUAAAACUUUUACCAAAAGUGCAUCAUUAUCAAGGUUUUGUCAAGUGUUUAAUCAUUAGCAACAUCAAGUAGGCCCAUUCUCUUAGAAUUUGUAUUGAAAUAUAACUUCUCUAAGCAUAAAUUUAUAUGAGAAGCACUUUUGUCUUUCCAAUGAGAAAAUUCAGAAAUUUGAGUAUUAAUUCAUUCAAAAAUUACGUAAAUUAGAAUUAGGAAAAGGACUGCUCAAUCUAAAACUAGAUGAGGAUUUUCAUUGUGGCAUGUAGUAGACCGAAACACAUUAGGACAAGUUAUUAACCAGAGUAUAUGGUCAAAACUAGGAAACCUUUGGAAUUGUUGUAAAUGGAUUUCUUUAGUCCAACUAAGGCAUAAGUCUUAGUAGAAAAAUAUUUGGGUAUGCAAUCAUUCAUGAUUUUUAUAAAUUUACAAGGGUAAUUUUCUAAAAAGAAGCAUAAUUAACUCAAGGCAUUUAAGAAAUUUAACCAAAAAUAAUAAUAAUGAAAAUAAAUUGAAGAAUAAAAUUAGACAUGAUCAUGAAUGACAAUUUAAAAGUUUAAAUUAUUGGGAAAAAAAUUGGUAAUCAAAGAAAACCCCAUGAAUUUUCUAGUACACCUCAACAAAAUGGUAUUAUGGCUUACCACUAUCCUAAAUAAUUUUCUACUGAGGAGAUAAAUGGUCUAUUAUAUCAUGAAUAGAAUUGUGAUUGAGCCCCUAGUCAAGACAAUUUUUUUGUGAAUUCUAUUAAGGAAAGAAACAAAAUAAUAGUUACUUUUACUUUUUAGAUGCAAAUUCUUUACUUUGAGGACAUAGAAAAUUUUGAUUCUAGAAGUAAUGAAAAAACUAGAGUAUUGUGAAAAUUCACUUUUACAGUUUACAAUAAAUUAUAGGUUAGGAAACAACAAUUAAGAAUUUUAUAAAAGAAAUAGAAAAAAUUUUAGUUCAGGAUGAUGUGGAAUUAUUUGAAACUAAGGUUUAAGAUAUUCAAUUAGUGAUGAUGUGAUGCUCUCCGAACUAUAGGAAAAUAUAGAAAAGGAGAGGUUUUUAAGAGAAGGAAACUAUGUCAAGAUUCAUACAAUUAAUCAAAUUUUAGGGGAUUUUAAGAAAGGACUCUAAACUAGAUCAAGAUUUAAAAUUAAAAUAAUUGUGCAUUGAUUUCUAAAAUUUAGCCAAAAAAUGUUGAGUAAGCUUUAGAGAGUGAGAAUUAGAUUUGAUCACAAAAAAAGAGUUUAAUCAUUUUAGGUUGGUAAUAUUUGAACCUCACUCUCUAGGAUAUUCAAUAUGCUUGUCAUAGGAACAAAUUGGACUGUCAAAGAUACACCAACUUCACAUAAAUCUCGAAUAUGGAAUCUAAAAGCUAAUAUGUGUGUGUUUUACGUGGAUCAAACGAUGGCCCAAGCGUCGUUGGAUUGAUUUGAUGUCAAUAAUAAAGUUGCUUAUCCAUAAGAGAAGAAAAUGCAUUUCAAAUUUCAAAUCAGAUAGACAAAAGAAUGAAAUUUUUUGAAUCAAAAAAUAUAAAAAGUUGUUACCUACAUAUUCUAAAAAAUGGAAAUAUUUAGAAUUAAUUUUUUAAUAUCUAAUGACAGAGUCAAAGAAAGAAACCACUAGAGGAUGACACUUAUAACAAAAAAGAGGGUUUAGAAAAAAAGAACAUAUCUCUACAACAAUUUACAAUGUAUAUCUUUCAAAUUUCAUUCAUUAUGAACUUUAAUGAAGGACAUAAUAUUACACUUGAUCUUCUUAUGAUAUAAUGCUACAUUCAAUCUUCUUAUGACAUCAAUUUUAAAGAUUUAUACUCUCCAUCAGGCCCUAAGGUAAUUAUGUGACAAGGGCAGAGACAUUUAGGCAAAGGCAUAAAAUAUUUGUAGUCAUUUUUUGUCCUAAAAAAUUGUGGUACCUAAAGAGACUGAAUUAAAGUGGUUAAAAGGUUAAGUCCUUAAAUGAUAGUAUAUAUUUCCUAAAUAAAGUAGUGAAAUAUGAUAUAAAGGAUCUUGUGAAAUUGAAAGUAGUUAAGUGAGUAAUGAACUAGUAUAAAAAUUCUGAUUUUAUAAGUGAGAAAGAAGAAUCGUGAGAAUACCACAUAGAGAAAGAGAAAAUAUACAUAGAAGAAAAAAGAGAUGUUAGAGAACCCAUGUCAACAUAUUUAUCAAUAACGAAAAGGCACAAAUCAACAAAAAUCUAUAAACACUCAAUUCAACCCUCUCUUUUUGUAUUUCAUCUAUCAUGUUACUUUUUAUAAAUAAAGGAUCAAUUUAUUAGAAAUUUCAAGUCAUACUUUUCCCCUAAUUACACAUUUGAAUGAUUAAAUAUAAACAUGACAUCUUUUAAGGGCUUAGAUAUCAUUUUUUUUACUCCAAUAAUACAAUAAUUACACUGCUAACAUAUAUUUGAAGGUAUUAGUUUAUGCAUACUUGUAAGAGUCUUCACAUCAGCAUUCAACAUCAAUAAAUUACCAAAUUUUAAUACUUCUAGCGGAAUAGAUUAAUGAUUCAAAUAGUAUUCAAAGUAUCAUUAAUUUAAUUCCAAAGAAAUUGAUCAAAUCAUGAAUGGAAAAUAUUCAAAGUAUUUUUUUAAUUAAUAGACAUCAAGUAUAAUAUUUUAACUUUCAUCUCAAUACGUUACUUCAAUCAUUUGAAAAUUCUUAGAUGACUAGAUUAUGACUUUUUGGUAUCAUUUUAGUAAUUUUCAUCAAGUACAAUGAUGCUAAGGGAAGUAAUGAUUCCUAGUCAAUUUUCAAUCAUUAUAUUGUAUUUCAACUCAUGCAUGUCAAACAUAAUCAUUGAAAUAUCAUCUUAAUACUUAAUACAACUAAAAUCUAUUACAAAUAAUUUUAAAGUCAAUAUCAUUGAAUCAUAUGCCUAGUUCUUGCAGAAAGGAUAUGUUUUAGAAUUAUAAUCACAAUUUCUUUAAUUAUUUUUGUAUGCAUGUUUUUCCUUAUCAAAAAUUUUUUGAGACAAUUAAGACUCCUAAAUUAAAUAGAAUCCAUAAUAAUCAAAAUGGCGUGUUUUUGAGUAGUUGCUUGAACUAAAAAGCAAAGAUAAAUCUUAAAAGAGAAUGAAAAUUGAAUUAUUAUCAUCCUCCUUAAAUGUUAUAACAUAUUGGCCUUUAAAUAGUCUUUUGUCAAUUUUUAUUCUCUUAAAAAAUCUGAUUGAUGAACGAAUUUACAUUAAAUCAAAAUACUAUGAAACAUACUUUCUAAUAAUAUAGAUAUGGCAUUGUAUCCAUGCAGACUUUUAUUGGCUUAUUUUAAUUUGAACUUAAACUCAUUUAAUGACUUUCAACCUAUGCAAUCCAUAUUUUACUAUGGAGUCACAUGUACCACAUUAGAAAGUGCAUUUGAUUGCAUAGUUAACAUCUUUGAUAUGAUGAAUGACAAUUCAGUGCUAAUCAAAAUCAAAAAAUUUACCCAUAUCUACCAACUUAUCCUCAUGGUUCUUCUGAAUAUUCUACUUCUGCAAAAAAGAUAGUGAUUAAUUGACACUUACUAACUUAAUUUUACUAUGGAGCAUGAAAAAAUUUUUCUUCCUAAGUUCAUCAUUGCUAUCAUGAUGAAAACUCUCAGCCUUUUACACACUCACAACUUGUUUUAUAAGUUACUAUUUCCUUGAUCUACAUAGAAAAUCAAAAAUCUGGUCACAAAUACUGACUUUAGAUUGAAACUUGAUUGAUCACGUUGCCCAAUUUAUCUCACAAAGAUAUUCCUUCUGCUAGUCUACUUAAGCACUUUGUCAUUGAGCAUCUAUCAUUUUACCUAACCUAUGUCCAAUGCUGGCUUCACAAAGCUCUUAAAUGUUAAUGAUUAAAUCAAAGAUUAGGCAAAAGCUUUUGCCAAUAAUGUGAUGGACAUUAAGCAGUGAUUAAUUCUAGAAUUUUCUUUUUUUUUAAUAAAAAAUGAUGGAGAGGUUAUGCAUCUUGAGGGGAUCAAGCAUGUAUCAAGAAACUUUGUUUCUUUAUGACUGUUUGAUGUUUUCAUGUAUGGACCAAUUGUCUAAACUUCUGAAUUGUUGAUGUAAAAUUGUAUUCCCCUUUUCUUAAUUUAUCUUCUUUUGUUGUGAUUCCUAUGGUGUGUACUAAUUGUUGUACCUAGGAGUAGCAAUCCAAUCAUUGUGAGAAAAUUGGUGUGGUUGCUGAGAAUUCAUAAUAUUCAAAAAUCAUUGACAACCCAAAAGGAUGAAAUAUGACUAAUGGACUAAGUGAGAAAAAAAAUUAUACAGGGGAAAAUGGACUGAAAAUAUUAGUUGAAUUGUUUUUUGAUGUGCCAACAAGGGGACAUAAUGAACUAAAUAGUGAAAUGAAAAUACUGUUCUCAUUCAAUAAAAUUAGAAUAAAGAACUGAAAUGUGGAAUGAAACUUAUUUUCGUGCUUGAUGUGAGAAGCGAGAAUCAAGGUGAGUGGAUGAAAAUUAUCAUUGAGACAAGUGUUGAGAUUAUUCAGGUUUCAUUUCUUCCACUUGUUUGAACAUUUCCCCCAUAAAAUGGUGGAGAUUAUUCAUGUGAAUGAUAAUUUUAGGAUGUGAAAUCUGCGAAUUGCCUUAGUUUAACUAUCAAAAGGGCAAGGGUGGAAUCAGACAAAUGAUUUUUACAUUGGACCAUUGAGCCUCACAUAUGCUAGGAACUCAUGAAAAUUGUAAUUAAAAGUACUCAACGCAAUAAACAGUAAAUCAAGAAUUCAAAGAGUUCAAAUUGUCCUGAUUUUAUUUCCACUAAAGUGAAAAGUUAUUUCUAAAUUGUAUAAUUUAAUGUGAAAAAUAAUCUAUAUUUUAACUUGUGUUAAAGAAAGCAGGUCAAAUAAGGAAUCCAACAUAGCAGAUCUGAUGGUUUCGAAUUUUUAUGUAUUUUACAAGGUUUACCAACAUUUUCUUGCAUUAUCCGUCACAUGUGCAGUCCAAUACAGACCACUCAACUAAUUGUUGAGAUGCCUGUUCGGCCCAUUAAGCCCAGCAUAGAAAUAGGGCUUUCACCCAAAAAUGGGGCAUCAGGAAAGAUCAAAAGAUAGAGCACAGGAGUCUAUCUCUCUGCCCUCUUUCUGCUUACAGAAAUCUUCUAGAACCCAAGCUGCAAAUUCAAUGUCUCCAAGUUUCUGCAACUCCUGAUAGUUAUUUGCGGCUAAAUAUCUUUGAAAAGCUUCCUUACAAUCUUCUUCCUCAACAGCAAGAUUCAGCAUCCUAUUUGAAGGCAUGGGUAUGCCUCCGUAUUUCUUGAACUGCUAAUAAUUAUUUACCGCUAAAUAUCUUUGAAAAGCUUCCUCGCAUACUUCUUGCUCGACAGCAAGAUUCAACAUCCUAUUUAGAAAUAGGCGGUAGAAACAGCCUACUUCUGUUGGGUUUGAAUUUCUAAAGGCUCUCUAGGAUCACUUGUCUCAAGAUUUGGAGGCUAGAUAGAGCUUGAACAUCCAGAAAGGGGAGAAAACCCACAUGAAGAUAUAUCGUGCAAGGAAGAGAGUAUGAUCCCACAAAGCCGCCCCCACUUGAUCUGCUUAUUGGGCGAUAAAAAUAGAAUUUUCAUUCUCUUUGGGGGGCUCAUAUUUUAUUCUGGAUUCAAGCAACCAUUAUCAGUUCAAAGGACAACAUUUUGGAUCAUUGUGGAUUCAAGGAUCAUCAAAAUUAUUUAUUGUGGAUACAAGCCAAUGGGAUUUCGCAGUGAUUUACUUAUGUUGGUCCGUUGAACUUCAUCCCCCAAUUGACAGUUUUGUAUCCACUAAAUCAUGGUUGGUUUUUGAGGCAAGAGAUUUGUGUUUGGAGGUCAACAUCAAUCAGAAAGAAACGGUCGAGUGACGUGUCCUUGGCGAUUUCAUUAAAUGGACGAUAGAAAACACAGCUUUUGUUUGAGAUCUUCGUGAGAUUAUUCAUUCUGAUGUUCUUCAAAAUGUUUGGUUAGUGGGCUUUUUGGUAGCUACACAUGCAUCACUAUUGCCCACGUUCCUAAGAUUCCUGAGAGAUUCAGGCUCUUCUUCUUCAUGCGCCAUAAAUGGGAGGUUAACGAAUGCUGCAGCCUGGGCCCAGACUAGCCAGGGGAGUGCCAAUAGUGAUCACCGGCAGGAGGAAGAACAUUAACAGUUGAACAUCAAAGACGGGGGCGUAAAUGGGCAGGGAACAGUGGGGUGGAUAAAUGCGCUGCCACCUGUGGUCCAUGUGGACUACCACGUGGGUUUCCGAGCCGUUGUGAUGCUAUUUCCUUCAUUUAUUUCUUUAAGGGUCGUUAUUUCUCUAGGAGCUCAAGGCGACUCCCCGUGAGAAGAUGAUUUCUGUUCCAAUGGCUCUGCGAUGCGGGAACAGAUGACGAGGGGCGUCCUUCGAUUCAUUCGGCGAGAGAUCUCGACCGAUCACACUCGAACAGAAGUAAAAUGCCAUCCUUUUCAGGUACUAGAUACAAAAAAGAAGCUAAUUUUGCUCUUCUUCUGGGAAGAAAACAGAGACUCAGCUGUCUCCCCUCGUUGGUUUUCCCCAGGACAAGGGGGAAGUGAGCUGAAAACGCGCCUCCAGGACGAACACCAUGUACACGAUGAAGGAAUUGGGCAGGAGAACCCGCAGCCGGAGAGGGGAGAGGGAGAGAGGAGAGAGGAGAGAUUUCUGACCUUUCUCGUAUCCCUCGUCCUGUUCGUCGUGGUUGCUGGUUCUCGUCGUCGAGGGGGGUUUGCUUCGGACAACCCACCCUGGCUGAUCUUGUGUUGUGGUUUUCGAAGAAUUUGAAGAAAUGGAAGAGCAGGGAUCUGUCCACGGAAUGAAAAAACGGGACAUGUUCAGGGCUCCACGUCGUCCCAGCUGAGGUCCCCGCCGCCUCCGGUGACGACGAUGGCUGUGCCGUUGUUGAAGGCGGGGCACUGGUAGGACGGCCGAGAUCCGUCGCCGCCGGCGCUGGCGGGGCAUCCGGAGGGCCCCACGGGCAGCGGUGCCAUGCAGUUGUAGGAUAGGCAGACCGUCACCCCGUCCGGAAGGGGCGGCGAGACGGCGGCGCCGGCCACACCGCCGCCGGGAAUCGGAAGUGGAGAGUCGAGUCCGGAGAGGUAGUUGUGCUGAGCAUAGAGCGUCGUCAUGGUGCCCGCGUAGAGGCUGCGAACGAACUCCGACGGCAGGGUCCCCGUCAGACGGUUGUAGUUCACGAAGAGGCUGCCGGCCGCCGCCAGACCCCCCGGAAGGGGACCCGUCAGCUGAUUGUGGCUCAGGUCCACCGUCCACUUCGCGAUGGCUCCCGGCUCGACGGGCUCCGGUAUAGGGCCCGACAAGCUGUUCCGCUGCAGCAAGAGCACCGCCAAUGGCGGUGGCACCUCCUCCUCCGGGGGGCGCCGUGGAUUGAAGAGGGCACUGGGUACGGGACCGGAGAAGCCGUUCAUGGAAAGGUCGAGAAAAGCGAGGUCGGGAAAUGAGGCGUCGAGGGCUUCGAGGGGACCCGACAUUGCGUUGUUGGAGACGGAGAUGUAGUGGAGAGUGGCCGGGAGAGGGCGAGGAAGAGGUCCGGUGAGGUUGUUCUCGCGGAGGUCGAGAUGGAGGAGCGGGACGGCGACAGGGGGGAUUUCCCCGGAGAGACCGCCGUUGGCGGCGAGGAUUACGACCCGGAGGCUGGGUAGAGCGAGGAGGGCCGGGGGAAUGGCACCGGAGAGGCGAUUGUGGCUGAGAUCGAGCGUGUGGAGGCUGGGGAGAACCCCUAAGGAGGCCGGGAUGGGGCCGGAUAGAAGGUUUCCGCUCAAGGAAAGGAGGCGGAGCGAGGGCAGGCGGGCUCCGCCGAGCGCCUCGGGGAUGGGCCCGGAGACGCGGCCGGGGGAGAGGACGAGCUGGGUGAGAAGCGUGAGGUUGGCAAGGGAGGGUGGAAGCGUCCCGGCGAGGCCCGGAGAUCCUGCAGAACCGGCAGAUCCGAGGGUGAGAGACGUCACCCGGAGGGUCGCAUCGUCGUCGGCAGGGGAGCAGACGACGCCGGCGAAGGAGGAGCAGGCGUCGGAGGCGGCAGACGGUGAAUCCAAGCGCCACGAGGAGAAGAAGCCCGAGCCGGGGAGGUCGCGGAGGCUCUGUCUGAGGUCUAUGAGCACAUCAAGGUCCCCGCUGGUCAGACGAGCACCAAGAGCCAGCGUCUCCUGCGGCCGCUGCUGCGCGGUGGCCAACCAGGCCCCUCGCGAGACCAAGAUCACGGAGAGUAAGAGCGAGAGAAGGCUCGCCAUGGCAGCGUGAAGUCGCCCGCAGCGCGAUGGGGUCCGCGAGAGGAUUCUCUCUCCCACAGGAAGCCGGCGGAGAUGGGCGCGCGCGAGAAAUGUCGGCCAAAACAAAGGGCAGCCGCGCUCAGUCACAGGCUUUGUAAAGGCGCGUUCUUGCCAGCAGGUGUGGGGGCGGGUUGGCUCCCGUUGCCUAAUCCUCCUCUGCGUCACUAGCGUAGCAGCGCGGCCGCAAUGAUGGCUCUCACAGGGGGGAGGGGGGGUUUACGGUCGUCGUACAGCGGGACGAGGGGGCACGUGGUGGAAGUUGGACGGACGCCGAAUGGUCCUGCGCCGUUGCAUGUUUCCAUGUCCCUUCUGUUGCGUGACGACACGGCCAACUGGCCGAGAAAAGACAAGGCAUGCUUGCUUGCUUGCCUCGCCUCGAUUCCUUUGCCCGGGCCGACUCCCCGGCGGCUUGCACACGCGGCACGGGGGUUUCUGCUGCCCAGGUUAGGUUCCGCGCUUGGAGAAGAGGUGGGUGAACAGCGACACACAGAGGGGUGGAGGGGCCGGCCUUCCGGCCAGGGAAUGGAUGUCCCGGCAAGAACAGGGAGAAUCUGUGGAGCCGACGCCCGCCCGACGCGGGCUCGCCCGGCGCGCAAUGCUAGCAACUGCAGCAGGAAUUGGGGAACUAAGCCAGAACGGAGCUCGAGCUCCCUCCCGAGGGAGGUCUCGCCGGAAUUUCCAAGAGGGGAUCUUGGAAAGAACUCAAAUAUUGGAAGUCCCUUGGAGGCGGGGGGCCGGUCGCCGACAGGCCUUUUCGAACUCGCGCUUCAAAAUAUAUCAAAGUUGGAUUUGUUGGAACCGACUUGACGGUCUCAAGCUCUUUUCACUCCCUCGUCACUGCUACUGCAUAGAUUAUGCCGUGCUCCGUCCUUCCUUGACGGGGCCUCCCCUGCCCUCUUCCCUCCCCUCGACUGGCGAUGCACGGCUGCGCGCCGCCGGCCAUGGCAUCCUCCGAGCCCUUCCCUACCCGGCCAGCUCGGUGGAGAAGCGCCAUUUGCGGCGGCGUGUCUGGGCUUCUCCAGUAGUCAAGCCUGUUGGGGUUCAGCUUUGUUGGCUCUCGCUCGGACCAGGGUCAAACUGGGUCCGACUCCACCUAAUAUUUCACUCAAUAUUCUACUUCUAUGCAGAUGGGUUGGUGCGACCCAUCAUAAAUAAUUAACCCGCUUGCUCAAAUCUGCUCCUUGCGGAAGUCGAACCAGCCCGACCUUAAUAAAAUACGGCCGACCGAUCUGGUGAUAAAAUACGGCCGACCGAUCUUUACUAUUCUUAGGUGCAUAGUAGCAUGUGCUAACGGCCAUAUUCCACGGCUGCCUAGGCUGCUAACAUAUUGCUUUGUUCUUAGGCACAAAUCCUAACCCAGGUUUGAAGUAACGGAGACUGAUUUUAUUGUUUUACAUGCUCUGAGGGCAUUGGUCCAACGGUGGCUGGUAAUGACGCUCUAACAUACGCGAAGACAGAGAAACUUAGCAAGCUCUGUCUGGGAGGGGAAUCACUCCUGGAUGAUGAUUUGAGUGGGUUAAACUGUUCUUAAAAAAAAAAAUGGUAGAACGCAAUGAGAAAAUAUCGGCAGCAUCAAAUAAGUUUAAGGAAAAAUCGGAAAAGUUUUGCUAUAAUGGGUCCCAGAUAAGUGUAAACGUCAGAAAAGCUUUGGUAGUUUUGCCGACAGUCACCGCUGUUCAUCGAUUUGUACUCCAUUCAAGGUAAAACCGGAAAUGAAGAACAACGAUGCGAGCUGGUGAAUAAACUCUGUUAUGGUAUGAACCCCAACAUGGCUAUUAAAUGAGCAUUCUUAUUGAGGAUAAGAUAUCCUAUUAUUGAGGGCAGCCCCAACAUGGCUGUUAGCUCGAAUCAUUAACAAAAAUGUCGUGGAUGUCACUCCCCUGGUCCCGGUGAUAUUUAUGCCUGUCUCUCUCCCCACCAAAGUGUCUGGAACUUUUGGCAUAUGACAAUAGCUCGUGGGCCUGCCUAUCUCAUCUUUGGUUGGAUCACUCUCCGCAAUUCUCGCGGAAGGCUCUUCUUCUUCCUCGACGUCAGUAUACUCUCAUCUCUGCCAGACGGCUCUCCGAACACCGACAGCGGCGAUAAAUGCGAAUAGGGAGUUCUCAGCGCAUUGCUUGUUAAUACCCCAUGUGGGGUUAAAACGUUUGGAAGAACGCGGUUGUGUGAGUAACUCACAGUAGUGGUGCACUGACGAGAGGAGUUACUCGCCUGCAUGGAUCCUCAUCAUGUGGGCAUUUAAGCGCUGCCGCUGCUACUGCCAUCGUAAAGGACCUGACGGCAGGCCGCCGUUCAAGGGCUCCGACCAGUCGGUCGCCGAGCAUAGAUGCUGAGACGCGUAUUGUUUUCUGUACUUUGCCUGGAUGUGAAUUGUGGCCGUCACCGCAGAAGAAAAUUCGCCGUUUCAGCCUCCCAAGCCUGAAAACUUGACGGCGUACGUAAAGCGCCGCCGGUGGAUCAAGAAUGGAGCAAGUCUUAAAGGUCAACUGAGGAGUCAGCGUGGCUGUCAACGACAACGAGGCGAACGUUUGAAGGGGGUGAAGGGGGAGAAGGGGGGGACCUUGUUGAGUGAGCAGACAACCACAACGGUCUUCAUAUUAAAUGCCAUCACAUGAUCCGCUCUUGGCGCGAUGUAUGAACUUAUAGCCAUCAUUGCUUGCCGGUCACUCUCGCAAGUACCCCCCGGCACAAGAUCAGUCAGUCUUUCGGCUCUUCCCUUUCCCACCCUGCCGACAAGGGAGAUAAGGCCACGAACAUGCAUCAUGAAACUCUCUCUCUCUCUCUCUCUCUCUCUCUCUCUCUCUCUAUCGCUGGUAUCUAUUCAUCUUUAUCCCUGCAUCUCAUCUCAGUCCGAGUCUCCUCAAGGAAGGCCACACACAUCUCUCUCUUUCUCCCUUCAAAUCCCUCUCUCUCUAUCUAUACAGGUCAACGUGCCGACGCCGGCUUGUCUUCUACUCGUCAAGUGCGAGUUCAGAUGGGGAGGGGAUCUUAAUGAAACCUACAGAGUUCAGAACGCUUCGUGCUUCUUCGGGUUGCCUCUAAAUACUGGAGACAGCGACCUCAGUAAAUGCCAAAACGGUGUAGUAAUUGCACAAUGGAAGAGCCGAGCAGGGUCACUGCUCUUCUUCAUGUUGCUGACAACUGACGCGGGGUUCUCUUCGAUUUUUCUUCGUCUUCUUUCUUCGUAGCAUGACAUCACUCAUAAUGGUCGUCACCUCUCUCUCUCUCUCUCUCUGCCGUUUUUUCGUAGGCGGUGGUAUAAACCGUCAGUUGCUGAAGAGUUCCCUAAAAUAGGAUCAGAGUUGACUCGCACCGAAGUGUCUACGCCCACCUCAAAGCCUGAUAUCGUUGACUACAGAGAGUUUAACCAAGUAUAAGCCUGAAACUUCAGAAUUUUAGGUACGAUACCAACUGUCUCCCUACUGCUGCACUGCAGGCUUCCUGUUCGUCGACCCUACUCCAAAUUCGCAGCUGACAUGGCCCAGCUAAGACGCCUCGAAUACGGCAGGUAGUUUCGUACGGAGAGAGUACCUCUUACCAUUGCCAAUGGACUGAGUAGGCUCAUAGCUCAGCUUCGGACCGGACUUGGGUUUCUUCGUGCGCCAGGGUCUAGAAAAAUCAGGUCCUAGAAUAAGAGUAGGCUCUCCAAGGAACUGUAGGGGAGCCAUCAGCCUGCCUCCGCUUGCCCGACUCUAGAACGUGCUCUGUUGCCUAAGUGGAGACCCCCCCCGCCUCCUGCCGCGUAACCCGCGUUGUCUCCAACAUCGGCGGCUGAUAAUCCGCCUGCAUGGUGGGCUCUCCCAGGGAGGAGGAGGAGGGAAGGGGGGGAGACGCGUCGCGCAGAGUUUCACUUCAAUUCAAAAAAAUAAAUUUCAAGACUUGUGAAGAAAUUAAGGGGGGGUAGACUCGGAACGGUAAUGGUUUUGAACGGCUAAAUUGUAUUUAAUGUUCGCUAAUAAUCGAUUUCAUUCGUUCGCUGCGGCACAAGGCGAAAGAAGGGCUGGAAGCGUGAUGGACGCACGUAUCCGGGCCAUCGUCGACGCCAUCCACGCCAGCCCCUCCCAGGCUGUCAUCUACCUCGCCGGAGGUGCCUCUCAGGUGUGUCGGUCUCUCGUUCUCUGCUUCUUAGUUCCCCUCCCUGCCGCCGAUUCCCGACAACUGCAGAAUUCUGAAAAUGGCUGUUUUUUCGAUUGCUGCCUCCAGGCGCUCGGGUGGCUGCUGUCUGUUCCAGGAGCUUCUAACACCGUUCUCGAGGCUUUGGUUCCCUACUCCAAGACCUCCAUGUCCCAACUCCUCGGGAAGGUAACUCGUCGUCUCCUUCCCUAUGAAUAAUUUUCCCUAUUCGGCAUCUUCUUUCAUCUCGAACCCCGACAGCUUGUUUGCGUAUCCGUUUUAGUUUUCUCCUUUCGAUAUGUUCGGCCUGUUGUUCCAUAUUUAUCUGCCUCUUACCCGAGGAACAUUCAAACUCUGGAAUGUGGUGCGUCUGAUGGAAAGAUAAAAAGAAUCGUUUGUCCGACUACGUUUUGAUGGGGGAAAGUUUGUGAAUUAUUUAUUGAUUGAAUGUCUUGGGAUCGAACUCAACUAUAGCCUGAUAUGGCGAGAAUGUUUAUGCAACCCUGCCAAGUUUGAAUACACCUGAACCAUGUUUGGUUCCUUCGGAGUCAUUAGAUGCAACCUCUCGUUUGCAGGAGGAUGCUUUUUCCUUGAUCUUCUCAGUCUUAUUUUCUAUUAGUGGCUUCGAUCCAUUUCAAAGAGGUGGUCAUCUCAUGCAUCACAAACUUUAAGGUAUUUUGGUUAGGCAUCAGGCCUAGCUUUUCUCCCUAAACCGCCAUUGAUAGUCCACUCCAUUAGGAAAUGCAAAUCAGGCUGUGUCUUAUUGAUAUGGUGCAUCACUGGUUCCCUGGCCCAUUUUGUCUCACAAACAGCAUACAGUAAGUUUUAAACUAAAAUAGCAAAAAUAACGGACGAAUAUCUGAACAAGAAUAAAUUUCAAAGAGUGAAAACCUUACCAUAACCCGCAAUACAAACAGGGAGGAUGAAGAAAACAAAUGCUAUGGAAAACCUUACUACAUCAUCUUCUAAUUCUUUUUUAAACCAAGAAUAUUAAAAAAUUGCUUCUUUACUUGUUCUAUACUUUUAAUGUAUUAUUGAGUACCUCAGGUGGAUCCUAUCUCUGAAAACUGCAUUUAAGGUUUACAGUCUAGUCGUGUGCUACCUUAUAAUACUUGCUGGUUCACUUUAUUCAUAUGGGUUGGAUUUACAUCACUGAGGCACUCUUUGACUUAUGGAAGUUGUCCCUAGUAAAGCCCUAAACAUAGGUUCUUCUGAUCCAUAUCUCCUUCUUCACAAGUUUUGAUGUCUUAGCAAGGCCUGUGCAUAUAGUUUAAAAAUAUGUAUACUGAUAACUGGGUUAUGUUAUCACCAAACCAAUUUUAGAGCUCAGAAAAAGAGUUAUCUAAAAGUAAUAUGAAAGAUAUCUACCACUUUUGAGUUUAGAAUUCCUCUUUGUCACAUGACUGCAACAUUUUUUAUUAAAGAGGAUUGUUUUCUUCUAUCAAACCCAAGAAACGACAGAGAGCAUAAAAAAAAUGAAAGAGUAAAUAUGAAGAUUUCAUGUUAUUGCAUAUUUGAAAUCACACUUCUCUGUGUGGCUUAUAUCUUGAACUAAGCACAGAUUUCUGAUGUUAAAAGGAACUGCAUUAUUGUCUUGUUUUAGCAUAAGCCUUAAAAAUUCUCACAUUAUUGCGACCAUUUUGGUAUCUUAGCUCAGCUUAAUCACCUUUGUAGGAAGUACCCAGUUUCUUUAGGACAUGAUGAUUUGAUGCUAAACUAGGUCUAGUUUCUGUUCUUCUAAGAGGCUGGAAACAUAUAUAUUCUUGUACAAGGUGUUUCUAUUCCCGUGUGUUACUGCUGAGAAAUGAAGGCUAUCAAAUCCUGAGAGGACUGCUACAGAGAUCAACUAUGAAAAAUGUAUGAUCUAUUCAUGUACAAAGGCAGGUGUAUCUUCUUGGUUAAGAGUUCAGACAACAGUAUCUCCUAGGAUUAGGGUCAAUUAGGGGUAAUGAAAGGAUCUUAGAUUUAUGAAGAAACGACAACAAGAAAGAUCUGAUAUCUUUGCAUAAUCUUCUCAGUUAAUAUAAUAUAGCAGAGGUAAGGGAUGGUACUAAUGCUUUCCAAUCGACAGAUACUGUGUUUUCCUCAUUCAAUUUUAUUUGACGUCAGUACUUUUUGUCUUGUGGGAAUAUAUAGUUUAGCUAAUUGUAACCUGAAAUGAAUUUUCUUCUGUUGGGAGCUCACUGUUACAGAACUUCAUAGAAGUGACUAUCAGCUCAUGUACUGGAGCACUCCAUAGAACUGCUAGAUUUUAGACAAUAGGCAACAUGUUAUAAUGAUUGGAUCCCGCCUCAUCUCUUCACGAGGUUAAAUUGCACAACCAUGCUACCAGCAAGGUAGUCUACUCAACAUGUGAAUAGUGCAUAUUUUUAAAAAGGCUAUUUCUGGUCCAAAACUAUGUUGACUGAAAUUUUGGAACACUUUCUAUGGGGGCUCAUGUCAAACACCACGACAAAAGGAAAGCUUAUCCAUAGUCAUGGGACCAUCUAUUUUAUACAGGAAAACACAAGAUUCUGGGGGAAGACUCAAUAUGGUCAUGACAAUAGAUGAAAUAGUAUCAUUGCACUGGGGCGAUCUAUUUCAGUAUCUUUUCUGUAGUGUAUGUCAUAUAGUUUCAUUUUAGAUUAUUACUAAGUUACAUUACAAUGUGACCAUACUUUAGUUCACUUGCUGUUCAAGUUCUUGGUCAAGUAUUGUAACCUGCCAAUAGAAUUUACCCAUUCAAUUCAGUGGUCUGGGUCAGGUGAAGAUUGACUGUCUUGAUUGGACCAUAUGUUGUGGUGUAAUGUUUUCAUGUGAACUAUCAAAUAAUCCCCCUCUACAAUGGUCUUGGGUUUUUCUUCAUAUUGAAUCCCUCUGUAACCUCCCAUGUCCUCUAUAUGUUACAGGCCCGUUGGCAAAGCUUAUUGUACAAAUUAUCAUAUUAUUUCACCAGAAAAACACUGUUAAAAUGGCUGAAAUUGCAAUAUAUCAUAAAAAUUAAGCUUAAUGACUAGGGUCGUUAGCUCACUGCCAAAUCUCUAACUCUGCAUACAGAUGGUAAGAAAUACGGAGUUCUGCAAUUAACCCUUAUACCUUUCACCAAUUCUUCAGUUUGUAUGUUGCUUGUAUGUAUUUACCAUCAGUUGUCAAUCUUUCAGCAGAAGCAAGGAGCUCAUUCUACAGUACUCAGAGAAAUAACCCUAAGAAGAUAAUAUUAUAAGCUGAUUGCUGUGUUAAUCAUUCUAUGAGUAUGGUGUUCUGAAAAACAGUCAGUCUCUUUUGGUAUCAUCAUAAGGCAUGCAAGUAAAAUAUCUUGCAAUUUAUUUCUCUCUUUCGUCAAUGAUCAUCCAAGAGGAGAGAACAGAGGUGGCAUUUUCUAGCCAUAGUAUUUUCUGUUGUUUUUUUCUUCUGCACUUUGUUUCUGGACGGCAACAUUGGCCUUUGUCGCCACUUUCAACAUAAUUCUGUCAUAGACUGCUUUGAAAUAAGAAGUCACAAAAAGAGCAAGCCGUUAGAUUAUUGCCUAUCGAAGUUUGUUCGCAAUAUCAUUAACACUUGCAUAGCAUUAGUUAAGAUGAUCUUCAGCAUAACUUUUUUGAUUUAUCAUCUAUUUCCAUCAUGUCUUUCUUUUUACCUUCACUUCCUUGGAUUAUCCCAUGAUUUUUUUCCUUUAUUAUUCUAAUAUUGCAUCUCUUUUUGUUGAUGUAUGCCCUUUUCUUUAAGCUUGCAUUCCUUCAAAAUGACUGCCCAAUGGUUCUUUAAAUAUUUUUUUAUUUUUCUCCCUCGUCAGUUUGAUUCUGCCAGUCUGCUCCUAAUUUUAUCUCUUCAGGCCAGUCUAAUUUGCAAAUUUAUAGCAAAACAGUAUGUGGGUGAAGGUUAUGUCUUUCUGUGGGCAUUUUAUUCGUUCUUAUUCACAGACAAGUACAGACAUACUGGACAACAUAGAAAGUAGAAGAAAUCUAAGGUCUCAUGCCAUUAAAAUCAUGCAUCAUUAAUAAAGUUUACUUUAUUCAGUUGGCUGAAAAAUAUGAUAGACGUUGACUUGGGUAUGUGUAAAUUGCCAAAGAAAAUGAUGAUGUUAAUCAGUAACUUUGAAUGAUAAAUUCUGAUAAUAGAAAGUGGUUGGUCGUGGUAACUUAAAUGAAAGGAUUUCAAUGUUACAUAUUGUAUGUGGGAUUUGUUACUCUGUUUCCUACGUAAUGAAUUUUAGGUUCCUGCGCAUUUCACUAGCCAAGAAGUUGUAGAAGAAAUGGCAAUGUUGGCCUACAAUCGUGCAUUGAAGCUGUCUAGACCAGGUUCUUGUUCUUCAAUGGUUUUCUAUAACACUAAAUCAUAACAGUGUUUUUCUACUUCAGUUAUCUGCUUCAUUCAUCCUUUCAUACCUUUCGUUUAUCUGAUAUCAAACGGAGUUGGCUAAAGUUUCAUUCUUUUGGCUUCAAAUGAAUUUCUCCUUGAAGGCAUUGUUGUUUAGAUUUUUUUGAAGUGAUGUUACAAUAUUGAAUAAGUUCUUAAUUCAUUAGUUUCAAUUUCAUCAUGUUGAUAGAAAAAGGGGAUGAGAAGACACCAUAGAUGUGGAGAUGGCCAGUUUUUCGAUGAGAAGACACUUGUACACCUGGUACAAGUGUGCUUAGGAUACAAAAUUAAAGAUAAAAUAGAAAGACAGAAACACCCUCAUGUUCUUGGCAUUUUCUCUCGAUAAAAUUAUGGAUACUUAUCAUGUUGACCUUGCACAAUGUGUGUUGAAGUCACCUUGUGUAAAUCUGUCAAUCUAAAUAACUAAACAUUGGCCAUUUUGUUGAGGCAGAGAUAGGCAGUGGAAGACUAGCACCAAAAAAGGGAGAGUACAGGAGGAGGAAGAGAUAAAAUGAGAGAAUAUAAAUAGUCUUACCAUGGGCUGUAAGGCCCUUGGUACUUAUACAUAAACCCUUAGAGGUAAAAUCAUAAAUGAUAGAAAAUAAAUAGAGAAACAGAAGGGGGAAUAUAUCUGACAACACUCCCCCUCAAGUUGGUGAAUGGAUGUCAUCCAUGCCCAGCUUGCCACAUAGUUCGUAGAAGCAUAAUGAGGAGAGGUCCUUCAUGAAGAUGUAUGCCUGCUGUUGAGUAGAUGGGAUAUAUGGAGUAAAGAAAUCUCCUGUCUUGAGUUUUUCCUUAAUAAAGUGGUGAUCCACUUCGACGUGCUUCAUGUGGUCAUGCUAAACUAGAUCAUGGGUGAUGUUGAUGACUAAUUUUUUGUCUCAUAAUAGUUGAACUAGAUGAAUGUAUGGAAGUCCAAUUUCAGUCAAUAGUUACUUGAUCUAAAUAGCUUCACACAGACCUUGAACCAUUGCUUGGAACUUAGCCUUUGCACUUGACCAAGCAAGAAUUAGUGAGCUUUACUGACUCUACUUUUAUUUUUUUUCACCCUAAAGGAAUGAUUUAUUUGGGUUCAAUGGCUUUGAUAUUCUACUUUAUGGGUAGAAAAGAUACCCGAACAUUUUUUUUCUUUAUCUACAGGAAAUAGUGAUGUAGUUUCCAUUUGCCAUCAUGAGAUCAACCUCAAUAAGGAUCAUCUUUCUGCCAGAAUAUCUAUUUAAGAACUAUUUAAAUAUUUUUUGGCUGUCAUUAUAUUCAUUCUCUUUCAUAAUCUAUGGAAGGUGCAUUAGCUGGUGGUGGAACAACGAUCAAUUUAUGAGCCAGCAUAAUCUGUGUCCGUGUUGACCUCCAGGCAGAGUUGAGCAUCCUGCCAGAAGAGUAUCUUGUGGCCCACCGUACCUUUGAGGUAACAAUGUGUACGAGUGGCAGCAUGGAGGUGAGGUGCUUGAGGAGCAUGCAUGAAUUGACUCAAAAUGUUGAUCGUGUAGGCAAUGUUGGGUCGAGGGUAGGUGAGAUAGAUGAGCUUGCCGACCAACUUCUGAUAAGACCCUUGAUCAAUAGGUUCCGUAUUUGCAACAUCUACCAAGCGAUGAUUAGUUUUGAAUGAAAGUAUCCAGUGGUUGCGAAGCUGAUUUGUCAAGUUCUUGAAGAAGGUCUAGUGUACUUAUACUAGCAGAUAAAGAUACCCACAACACUAUAAGCCACUUCUAGUCCCAAAAAAUACUACAGUAAGCCCAGAUGUUAGAUCUCAAAUACCAAGGCCAAUCAGUGAGCAAGAGAUUGAGCCUCAAUAGUGUCGCUCUUGGUGAUGAUGAUAUUGUCAACAUAUAUUAAGAGGAGAGUGACUCCCCCUAACAAGGAAUGGUGAUAGAACAUAGUAUGAUCAUCAUUACUUCGUUGAUAACCAAAAGACAUUAUCAAGAUGGUGAAGUGACCAAACUAGGAGGGAGGUGACUAUUGAGGCAGUAGAGCACCUUGUUGAGCUGACAAACAACUAGAGUUGACAAGGAGAUCCAGUAUCCAGGAGGAAGUGUCAUAUAUAUAUCCUCUUGAAGGUCCCCUUACAAGAAGACAUUCUUGAUGUCGAAUUGCUGCAGGGCCCAGUCAAAGUGAUGAGCCAAAGUAAGGAAAAUACAGAUUGUGUUCAUCUUGGCUACUAGGGCAGAUGUCUCCUGAUAAUCAAUACCAUAUUAUUGAGUAUAACUAUUGGCAACCAAAUGAGCUUUGUAAUACUCCACGAAGCCAUCAGAUUGAUACUUCAUGGUAUACACUCAUUUGUAGCCAACAACAUGUUGUCUCAUAGGAAGAACAUGUUAGCAUCAGGUUUAAUUUUUCUCCAAAGCCAGGAGCUCCUUCGCCAUAGCUUGAUGCCACUCAAGAGUGUUUGGAGCUUCAUUCAUGGUGCGAGAGAUAGAAACAGUGUCAAGGGGCAUGAGGAAGGCAUGAUAGGAGGGAGAAAGGCGAUGGUAGGAGAGGUAAUGUGCCAAGGGUUCAAGAAUUUGAGGAGGCUGGGGGGGAGUAGGGUGAGAAAUUGGGACAGAAGAGAUGGGUGGACUCAAGUCAGAAGUGGUGGUGGACUCAGGCCAAAGACUGUAGGUAGAUGAGGGGCACAUUGGAUGUAGACUUGGCGACCAAAUUGAUGCAGUGGUUAGGGGUGGACAGAAGGUUCAGAGGCUGGGAGGGUUUCAGAGGGAGCAGAAGGUUUAGAUGUUUUGUUGUAUCAUGUUUUUCUGUAUUUUUUGAUAUUUUUGCGUACCUUGAAAUUGCAAUAUAACUUCAUGUACAACUUCAUUCAGACAUCUUGGAUAAAAUCUUAACCCAUAGGUACCUAUCAAUUUUAUGAGCUAUUGCAUAAUAUUUUGUUUUUGCACUUGAUGAGACUCACAAAAUUUGCAUCCCUUCUCAAAGAGUAUAUCUCCUAUGAUCUUGAGUACCACAAUCCAUUACUUAGAACUAACUGAUUUAGUAUAUCCUAACAUUCUUCCUAUACCUUACCCAACAAGACCUUUUAUACGAUUUAGAAGUAGUCAAUCCCUUUUCUUUGCAAGAAUAUGAAUGAAGUUUAUUUUGUGACCCCAGUGUAGAAUCCUAAUUCACCCUCCUUUUGAUUCCUAUAAUGACUUGGGACCAACAUUAGGUAGAUGAUCAUCAAGCUGAAUGGCUCCUUUCUCAGUGAUAAUAUCUUUUUUUCUUUUCAUAGUAAUCGCCUUUUUGAACUUCAGUUGAAGGAAUAUGUAGAAAACAACGCAGAGGUACUUAUCAUAUGGUUUGCAGCUUUAAAGUUGAUAACCAAAAGUAAUGAUAAGAUGCAUAGUAGCAUUGAGGGCAGAUUUGUUUAAGAGUAGUUUGAAGUAAAGGUUUGGUGGCGCCCUUAUAAAAUUUUAUUCAAGUUUGAGUCAAUCUUCUGUUUGAAGCUUGGUCAGGAUGUUAAUGAAUGAAAUAAGUUAAGUAUUCAUUGGCCGAUGCAUACAGAAAAUAACUUAUGGUGUAUGCAAAAUUUGAGGUAGAACUUGAUUUUUGAUCCCUGACAUUAAAGUAUCAGCACUUGUGUAAAGUGUCAACUGAUGAAAACUAAGUGUGAACAUUUGAGGCAAAAUAGAAACUGGAAAAAAGCAGGGAGAAGCGACCCCUAUACCUUAGGUGUUGACACUUGGAUAUGUGUAUGAUAUAAAGCUCAAAAUUGUCAGCAUGUAUAUAAAGAAGAAAAAUAAGUUUCGAAGGUGAACCCAUCAUGAGGGGGGAUCGUCACACAAUUAUAGCUUGUUGACUAACAGAUUGACUGCUAGCUUUUCCGAGUUGAAUUUCCAAUUUUUACAUCACCAUGCUUUGGCUUGAUUUAGUUUACCUAUCCCUAGUUUAUUACAAUAAUGACCGUAAACUUAGGAAAUAUAUGCUAAAUCUUUAAAAGAAGGGCUCUUGGGUUAUUGUUUACAACACUAUUAUGUUUUUGAAGUUCAUGGGCUUCCUAAUGAUUGUCAACUUUAUGCAACUUUAUGUUCUCUUUUCCUUGGCUUUAUUUUUUUCCUUUCUUUCUAAUGUUUGCAAUACGUUCCUUUUUUGGUUAAAGCACCUUUUUUCUGACCGUGUGUUGCCAUAUAUCAUGUAUUUCAGUUCUGAGCUGAUGAACAAGGGAUACCUUGUUUUCCCAGAAAAUCUCUUUUUGAAGCUUCCACGCCUCACAUCUGUCUUCAUAGAAUCAUGCUAACAGAGAUAAUUAACUCGGAUGUCAUAAUGCUGUUUUUGGGAAGCCACUCGUCAUCUUUCAAUUCUUCUUACUUUGGAUAUACAUCUUCCUAUUUAUGUAUCCUUAUUUACCAUAUAUAUUGCUGAAAUGAUAGUCUGCCAUAACCCAGUGCCAACAGACGACAUGCUAUUAAUAACACUGGAGUUUCUAGAUUAUCAAGGUUCCCAUCACACCAUUUAACGUGAAACUCUGUCCUCAAGAACAGUCAGCGCUUGUUGAUGAAAGAAGAGGGUGAUACAACCUGUGGCAGGCCAUUGGAAAACCUUUAGCCUAAUCGGCCUAGAAGACAGGGCAAAUAGGACCAGCCUUGACCCCUUCGCCCUGAGUGAGUAAGUUGCUAAAUUGUGGGCAGUACACAAUUAGCAGUGGAAAGAAAUAAGAUAAAGUUGUCCCCUUGGAUGGAAACUCUGGCAGUCAAAAACUAAAAAAGAGAGAGGAAGGCAUGAUGGCCCUCUUGAUCUUGAUGCUACAAUGUGUCUCAAACUCCCUCCUUGAUAUGUUUUUGUUACACUUCUUCCUUAAUCCAUCAAGGCAAAUCUUCUGAUUCCAUUUUCAUUGAAAAGGAAAAGAUGAAGACUCUAAAUGAGAGGUAACGAGCGAAAAAAUAGCAUGCCUCUUGCUUAUAUGUUGGGUCGCAUCUAGCUUCUAUUACUAGUUUUAAUUCCUAUACUGUGGCGGCUUAUAACUUGCACCUCAUUCCGUAUCCCACGAUCACCUAGUAUGUCAAAAGCCUAGGAACUUCUUAAAAUUUCUUGAAACACGGACCCAAUCUUUUUAUCAAUAGGGUAAUCCUUUAACAGAUGGUAUACACUUACACUGUCUUACAAUGGGCAUUAUGGGUAAAACCUAAUAAGUAAUUAAAGGAAAAGAAAAAGACAAAUGCCUAGUUAUGAAUAGUAUUGCACAAUUUCAUGCAGGUAUAAAAUUUUUAUUUCUUAAUAAAAUUAAAAAUUUUAAACAUUAAAGGUUAAGCAUGAUAAGUGUAGUGCCAUGAUGAUGCUAAUAAUUUUGAGUCUUCACAAGAGUUGCAUUUUUUAAUUGAUAUCUUUUAUAAUGGCAAUUCCAUGAAUAGAAACUAUUAAAUAAAAUCUGCAUGAGAUUAAAUUUUUAUCACCCCCCCUUAUUUCGGUUUCAAGGAUAUACUUUUGGUGACGGCCUAACCAUUAACGUGGAAUAUAUAAUGUUGUAUAGCAGUCAGAUUCAAAUUAUAAGUGCAGCUUUAUGGAUGAAUAUUUGUUAACUUAAUACUCAAAGUUCACAUCCUUACUUUAGAUUUAUCCACCUUUUCCCAGGUUUCGCAACUGUGCGUCAUGGAUGUUACUGGAAACAGGAUUCCUCUAAAUUCUUAAGAUGGCACUGGUAUCAAAACGGAUCAAUACAUUUAGCUACAAUCGAAUCAUAACAAGCAUAAUGGAAAAUUCGAAACUGAGGGCAGGAAUUGUGGCCGACUCAAAAUUGAAAUUAAAAACGAAGCUGAACUGAAAGCAAUGGAAAAAUAAGUCUAGCAUAUGACUGACAGUAUUUGCAUGGUUACCAGGAAUUAAGAUGACACUGCUUGUAGCGGAAAAAAAUAUAACUCAUUUGAAGUAGUGUUCAUUUGCCUCAGGAAUCUGAUGGUGGUAAUAAUUUACAUUGUUGUAUUGUGGUGUAUUUCAUAUUUGUGUUUGUAUUUAUAAAACCAUUGAUUUUAUAAAGAUUUCCAUGUAGGUUUUGUGUGUGGAUUGUAUUCUUGGUUGCUGAUCCAUUGUAAAGAUUAUUGUAUGUUUUUCUUUGGAUUUUUGUUUUGCAUGAGUUCCCUAGAUGCGAAUUCUUGUAUUAAUGACUCACAAAGAGAUUUAGUGGGUUUGAUGUCCUUGGACAAAAUUUGAGGUAGCAUUUCCUAGUUUCUUUCUGUUGAUUCUGGCUUAUACUUGCCUUUUAUGUUUAUUAACUGUUAUGCUGUGAAUUAUAAAGUUUUAAAUAUUGUAUUUCAACUCAUGUCAUAGUUAAACAACUCCUUGGCAGGUUGUCCAGUUGUGGGUGUGGGCUUUUCCGGCUCUUUAGCUAGUGUAGGUCCAAAACGUGGAGGGCACAGGUAUUGAUUUUCUGUCUGUUUAUUCGUUAGCAUAAUAGAGAAACUCCAGAUCAACUUGCUUGCACGUAAUAGUUCCGUUUGUGCACACUUCUUCACAUUCAGUUUCAAAUAACAUAUUUUACGAACUAAUUUUAAGAAUUCAUCUAGAAACAUCACGAACAUCAUGAACUAUUAUAUGCUAGUUCUACAUUUCUUUUGGUGAUUGAUUACCAAACUCUUUUUUCAAUGAUGAGCUUAUAAAGCUUGUGUAUCGAUGUCAUUAUGUUGUCAUUUUAAUAAGCAGUGAUCUUACUGCCCAUUUGGGGUAGAUAAGUAACUUGCAUCUACGAACUGUUCGUAUUGGAAGUGGAAAAUUGCGAAAACUAAUGUGUACAUGAAGGUGGUUUCAAAACUUUCUAAAGUGCCAAUUGGAGAAAAAUGUUUUUCGAUUUACGGUGGAAAGGCAUUGACUUUACGCCUUGAGUAUGCCUGAUAUGAAUUUUAUAUUUAUUUCCUAGAUGCUUUUCGCUGAUUGUCACUUAACAUUACAAGGUUUAUUUUAUGAAAUAUGCCAACAUUUUUCAUAUGCGGUCAGGAUGAGCGGGAGCUUGUUCCCUGAAUUUGUGUCUAUUUAUCGUUAAGUAGCUCUACUGCAAUCGGCCAAAAGCUGCCAACCUUCUACAUUUUGUGCAUCUUACUUCUAGAAAAAUUUUGGAGACCUGUGUAGCUAAGUGAUUUGUUCUUGUUUGGAAUGUCUACUCUUUGUCAGGGAUGGCAGGGACAGAAAUGGAUUUGUGGACUUUUCCAUACAUCAUAGUAAUAUCUAUCGAAAAAUAGUGAGAUUUUCUAUGGAUAUGUGAUGUUUUAUUGGACUAUAAAGGUCCUUGACGGAUGAAAUGAGGAUUCAUCACAGUCAACUUCUAUCGUUCUAAAUUACUCAAUUUGGUAGAAUGUGCCCUUGUGAUUACUUUAAUGGUGAUGUCCAUUUGAUGCUGUGCUCCCAAUCCUAUUCUUUAUUUUAGGACCUGAAUUCUCUUUUCUGCUUCAUCAUAGAGUAGAUUUCCGAAUUCAUGCUUAUAUCUUUGUUUUCGGAUUAUUUUCUAGUUUUUUCGAUUCAAUCUCGUCUACGUAAUUACAUUACAUGGAAUAUUUAGUGUUUUAGUAUCUGCUGCUUAAAAAAUAGGAUUACAUGAAUUUACUUUCCACUUCAUUGUCAGGACCAGAAAACAUCCGGUCAAACACGACCGUCUACUUUUCUUUUAUCCAUGAAUUCGAGUUAUUACAUUCUGUUUGCAGGUUUUUCUUAUCAACAAGGACAUCCGGUCGUCUGUGGGCAUCAAAUGUUACCUUAUGUAAGGUACUUAAUUCGUCAUCCAAACUGUCUUUCACUUUCUUUUCCUGGAAACCUUGCAAAGUUUCUGAUAUUGAUUAAUUCAUAUAGGGUCUGCGAAGUCGCGAAGAAGAAGACACGAUUUCUAGCAAAUUUUUACUGAAGGUACAAGUUACUCAAACGUACCUAUUAUUUUUUGGUAUUUAAAAAUAUUUAUUUAAAUAAAUUUCCUACCUGCCUAUUUUUUGAUCUUUGCAAGAAUUUGUAAUACCACAAGUGUUCUAAAAUUUACUCAUUUUUUGCAUUAUCACUUUUCUGACUUUUCGUGAUUUUGGAUUUGGAAAAUAAGCUUGUAAGCCAACGGGUGGUUUAUUGUUUAUAUCAUCUAAAGAGGGUAUUUUAGUUUUAUUAUCAAAUUGGUCUGGUUGUGACUUUUACCAUUUAAUUAUUUAGUUCUGAUGGCUCUAAUUUUUACCCAGAAUAGAUAAAGUUCCUGAGCUGGUGCAUACAACUGUAGUUCCUCUUCAAGUUUCUCUUGCUUGUUCAAUGCUUCAUUCACAGCUAUCAACUUCGCUAUUCCUGGAGAGAGAAGUGGGGAUGGUUUGGGUGAUUUUGUAGCUGAAUCCCAACCCAACAUUAUUACGCCGAAAAGUCCGACCUUUAACAAAAAUAAGAAUUGAAGGUAGACUUGAACCAGAAAAUUAAUGUGUCCGAACUCAACCCAUGCUACAGGCAUAUGCAGCAUUUCUUGCACUACAUUCUCAAUCCCUAUAGAAUUCUUUAGAUUUAUCUUAUUAUUACAAUUAGGUAGUCAUAUUUGCCAAACAAAGAUAAAGCAUUCCAAUUUGAGGGAAGAGAUUUUGUACACAGAAUACUGACACUCUAUGCUUCUACUUCCUACUCACUCUUGUCCUUCCAGUCUGAGGUGAUUCUACUGUGUGUUUGUCAAUUUUUCUUCUCUUUGAAGGUCCGUGCCAUGGUUUAAAAGUUAACCACUUUUCAAUCGACAGUUCAACUGAUGGCUUUAGUUAGUGUUGAUUUCUCUGGGAAGCCUCUGGAGGCACGAUAAUGAACACUAUGGAACAUUUUCAUAUUCGUUUACAAAACAUUUCAUGUUCAAAUCAUACAUUGUAAAGUUUUAAGUCAUGCCCAAAGUUGCAUCUUUAACAUGAUAUUUUAGAUAUUCGUUCUCUUUUCUUGUUUUCAAAAAAUUGGAUAUGCUUUUUUUUUCCUUUUGAUUAUUUCAUAGCAUUUCAAAUGGUUUCUCUCCUCUUGUUUAACAUAAUAUUGGUUUGAACUUUCUUCCUCGUGUUCUUAUCAUAAUACUUCUUUUUGUGCCUAUUAUGUCUAAGGCUAUUGCAGAUGCAUGCCAAGUUUGUGGUACUUCUGACAAGGAACUAACUGAAACGGAAGAUUCACAUGAAUUGGAAAAGCUGUUUGACGAGGAUCAAGAGUUACAGCAGCUUAUAAAUGGGGAAAUAUGCAUGAAAGCAUAUUCAUUUGGUAAUUAUUCAAAGAUUCCAAUGAGUUAUGUCUACAUGAGAAUAGUUAAGUUUUCCGUUUUGGAGAUAGAUCUUCUUAUUCAGCCGCAUGAACUUGCAGAUACUUGUACGUACAGUUCAGAUCAAAAGAUUAUACUUUCAGGAUCAUUUAAUCCAUUACAUGAUGGACACCUAAAGCUUUUGGAAGUGGCAUCAAGGUUAACAAUUAAUUUUAUGCUUCCGCAGAUAGAUGCAUGCAAGUUAAUUGGAGAUCCUUAGUAUUUGUCUCGAUCAUUUCAGUUGUAAAGAAAAAAGCUGGAUCUUUUUCAGGAUUUUCUUCAAAGACAAAAUUCAUCUGCCAUAUGGAUGAGACUCUAUCUUGAUGAUGACCAAUUAUUAUUGUGACAUCAAAAAAUUUAGCUACAUAUAGACACCUGUUUAUGAUUCUAUCAUGAAGUCAUCUCUUCUUACCUAAUUAACAAUGUGAGAACAUGCAUGAUUAUGAAAUAAUAAACUUGUUAUAUCUCUUUUAUAUCAGCUUUUUAACAUUCUAACUAUUUUUUAUUUUCUGUAGUAUGCUUUGCAAUAGGGUUCCGUGCUUUGAGAUAUCAGUUGUAAAUGCGGAUAAACCACCAUUAUCAAUAGUUCAGAUCAAAGAGCGAGUGAAUCAAUUUAAGAAAGCUGGUGUGUUCUUUUCUUUCGCUACUUGUUUAGUGCAACAUAUUUAGUUUUAAUUUGAAUGAUUGAUAAUGAUUAAUAUUUUAUAGGAUUUUUUACAUUCUGUGUAUUUUGUUUAGAUUUACGUCUAGUAUUCUCACUUCUAUUUAAAAGACCAGAUCCAAUGUGAGAUACAUUCUUCAUAAGAAAUGUUGGCCCAGGCAUGAUCAUUGGCACUAAAACUAAUAUAAUGAAACGAAAAACAUAAAUCGAUAUGAUAAUUUAAAAAUACUAAAUAUUAAAUAUUAUGGAAAAAUUAAGACUGUGUAACAGAAACCAAUAAAGGUUUAAAAUUCAGGUCAAUGAUUGUUCUCUUAUAACUCAUAACCAUGAAAUGUAAGAGCAGGCGAUCGUCAAAAAAGUAUCGGUAACGCAUGAGCAGACAACCUUGCUUAAAUACCAUGUAGAAACGUCAGCUGUCAGAUUACAAACUUCACCAUUUAUGAAUUAAAUAGUAAAUAAUAGGGAAUAAUUAAUACUGUGUUGCCAUAAACCAUCAAAGUUUAAAAUCCAGGUCAAUGAUUGUUCUUUUAUAACUCAUAACCCCGAAAAUGUAAAAGAAGACAAUUGAUGAAAGUAGUAUCAGUAAAGCGUUGGCAAACUAUCUUGAUUAAUAACAUGUACAAAAGUCAGCUGUCAGGUUACAAACUUCAUUAUUCAUGAACUAUUUCUGUUUUCGCAUAGUACAUUCUUUAAGAUGCUCAAUGAUUGGAUUACUGACUUCCCAUGUUUCGCAUUGAUAAUAUUAUAUAAAUUGCAUGCCAAGUUUUAGAUUACUCAUUUUAUCACAUCUACAUUUCUAUUUUUUUCACAAAUAUGUUCAAGGCAUUGCCUAAAUGAUGCAUUGCCCCAGGCUUCUAGGUUCACCAGUUGAGAACCUGCUUGGGUGCUCGCCAAAGUUGCCUUACCUCUGUUCUCCAACUCAUAUUGUUGUCAUCGUAGCUGCAAAAAACUAUUUGCUCUGUUCCAUGGCACAUGCUGUUUAACUGCAGUUGAAUGGACGCCAUGUAAGCACAAUCUAGUGGUGAUUUAAACCGUUAAGAUGAUAUUUAUUGCAUAUAUUAAUAUUUUAUAAAAAAUUAUUUAUUAAAUGGAGUUAAUUGUUUUAAAAAAUCGUGUUUACUUAUUGUUCUGAUUUAUAUUAGUUACUUUAAUAUUUAGAUAUUCCACGCGUAAAAUGUUGCUUUAUUUUAAGAAAACGGAAUCUAUUCAUAUAGCUUAAAGGAACAAUGACUGUCACUCAUUCAAAUUAUUUAUUUUAGAUUUUUGUAUGGUAUCAAUGCUCUUUGACACCCAAAGAUAUUCUUUUAUAGCCAAAGAGAAAAUACCUAGUUCACUGACUGUUAUUGAUUGUUUCUUCUACAGUUUAACAAUAAAUUAGAGGUUCUUGCCUUCUUGGGUUCAUAAGUUUACUGUCUGGAGAAUUCAACAGUUUGAUUUGUAUAUGUGUAAACUAUGCGAUAAUUAAGUAAUUUUCGUAGUACCAUGGUGAUUCGUUUCUCUACGCAGGGAAGACAGUGAUUCUAACAAAUCAGCCGUAUUUCUACAAAAAGGCUGAGUUGUUUCCUGGUAGUGCAUUUGUUAUUGGUGCAGACACUGCCGCACGGCUUGUUCAUGUAAGAAAUCUGAACUUGCUGUGUGUGUUGUUCAGACAAUACCACUAGAGGCAUGUAUGCUCGUUUUUGUCUAUACUUCAUGGGAUUGAUAAUUAUCAUUUUGCUAUAUAUAUAAUGAUUUUCAACCCUUCAUGUUUUUCUUUCUUUGUUAGACCCAUUAUAUAUAAAAUUGUUUUGCACUAUAUGAUGAGAUGGAUUGCUUUAAAAAUAUACUACUAUGCUCGUGAGUAUGGGUAGAAAUAACAGUACGAUGUUAGCUAUUGUCAUACAUUUACUCUUGUUGUUGAUAUGAAAAUGGUUAAAACCCUUUUUGCACUUGUUGUCUCUAAAUUAUAGCCCAGAUUUCAAAUGGGUACAAAAAAUACCUUUUUAAUGGUGACGUGAACGAGGAAGUGUUCAUGACGUGGCAAUUGGGAAUAACAUGGGACUCAUCACACUUUAUUUCAAGCAUGAUUGGUAUGCUCGGACAGAGUCAUUGAUUUGAGGACUACCGUUCUACAUUCAUAAUUUUAAUGCAGCCAACAUGAUCCGUCUCUCUUUUGAGAAUGGUCGUCUAGUGGUCUUGCUCUUCUUAUUACAUAAGUUAAUGGUACGUUGAUUGCUGUGGAUGAUUCCACGAAACGGGGCAUGUUAAAAAAAUUUUCAAUAGUCAUUUGGGAUAAAAGAUGUGGGCUAUUCAUUCACUUCUUGGGUGAAGCGCAUAGAUCUCCAGUUCUAUUCUUUUUGAAUCACCGCAUUCUUGCAAAAUUUGAUUUAUGUCGCUUGAUCAGAGAACAUCACUGAACUUAAUUCACGUAUGGAAACUAAUCUUUGGUUGAAAACUUAAGAUCACUUUCUAACUUUUGUAACCUUUCUUAUCUUUUAAUUUUACCGGACCUGGUAUUUCCUAUACCAUAAAUAGAACUUUUAAUUCUUUGUCAUUUACACUUUACUGGUAUUCGUAAGAUUGCUGACUACCUGAAAGGCACUCCUAAUCAUGGAUUGCUCUUCCCAAGUGGGUCUCUUCAAUCCUUGAGUCUAUAGGCUGUUGCAGAUUUGUGUUGCUAUCCUAAUCUGAGAUGGUUUUCAUUGAUUGGUGUGGCUGAUAUGACAUUAUCUGAUUUCAUGGAAGUUCAAGAAACAAGAUUGGGUUACCAAGCUGUUAAUUGAAAUUGAAUGUAGAGCCGUGUACGAAACACGCUUUGAGGUCAUCUGAUUGUGUGGUUUACUUCUAAAAUUAGGUUUCCUUCUUAAUUGUGCUGACUUCUUUACAUGCUAACAACACAAGUGCUAUUCAGAUUGCUGAAAAUACUUGUUUCACAAGUGCACAAAGCACGUUGAAAUCAAUUAGUAUUACAUUUCGUGGCACUUUGAAAGACUCAUCUCUACUAUAUUUACCUUAUAAGGAGCAGAUUGUGUCUCUCUUCACAGAGGCUUCGAUAUCUGAUCUGCAUCAACCUCUUUCCACCGAAACAGAUGUCUUCUCGAAGCCUUUGAUAUUUGAUCAGCAUCAAUCACUCUCCUCCGAAUUCCUUCUAAAAGAGUCAGCAUCAGUUUUAGGGAGAGUUGGAAUGCGCUCCAUGUAAUAUGGGAUAGAAGGAGAUUUAAUGCUGUUAAUAAUGAGCAACUGGUUGGUUUCUGUUUUUAACCUUUACCCUAUUUAGGGAGAGUUGUGUCCACCUGUAUUCUAUUAUUGCUUGCUUCUGUAAAAUAUUAGUUCACUCUUUUGUUUAUACAAAGUCCAUAAAGAGGCUCUGAGAUCUCAUAUUGGGGCAGGACGCUAUGAUCCAUUGAUCUUAUCAUGUUUCUCUUUGUCCACUGUCAUCUUCUCACCAUUGGCACCGACUCUUUCCUCACAUUGCUAGCUGUAGUCCUGUUCAGAGCUAAGAUGGUAAUUACAAGGUCACCACAUCAGCUCAUCUUCCAUUAAGUUUGUACCUGCUUUUGAAUGUGGCAUAUUAUCCUGUUUACAUAAUAUAGAGCUGUUCUGGCUCUAUUUAGUCUCUUCAGUUAUUGAGUGAAUGCUGAGAGAAGCUGGAGCUGAGUGUCUGCUUUUCUAUUUACCGUGCAAGUCCCGUCACCGAAAUUGGGUUGACCAGAAUAUCGUUGCCUCUUUUCCUCUUCUGGUGGACUCAUCCCUCCUGUCUCAACGUUCUUCUUUUUCCAUUCAUUACAUGUGCCCUUGUGUGGUGCUGUGGGUGAGCAGAAAGCCUGACCAUAACCCAAUCCUGAGAUUGGGCUCUGCAAUCUGGCUUUCUGAUGCCAUGGGCAUUGUUUCUAUCUAUCUUUGGUCCCAAUACCACACCUUGGUUGAGAGGAGACUCAAUUUGUAGCUAGAAUACAUAUUCUCGGAGAAAUUAGACCAUUCCCUGAUGGUAGAGGUCAUGGAUGAUGCCUUGGUCAGCAGAGGAGAAGACAACAGAAAACAGAGACAGGCAUAGGUGGACAUCAAUCCACCGUGUAGGGAUAUUUUUGCCUCCCAAAUCCUGCCAUGCCCUCUUUAAUGUAACCAGUCAGGCACCUAGCUUAAUCACUACUAGGUUCUAUUUUCAGUUUUUUCUGGUUAUUUUAACUGCUCGAUUUAUUCUUUUUUUGCAUCAGUUAUGAAUGUGGAUACUACGUAAUUCGCUGCUUAUUCCUCUAACUAGAUGAGGUUGAGGGUUGUAGCAUGAAAUAAUUUUCUGUAGAUCUAUCAGUCCUUAUGUAAAUUUCUGUCCCUAUUCUCAUUCUUUGUGGAAAGCUCUCUCUUUUAGAUUCUGGGGUGAAAUCUUUUAUGAACUCAUACCUGUCUUUUUCAGCCAAAAUAUUAUGGAGAAAGCUAUCACCAGAUGAUUGAAAUCCUGAAUGGCUGCAAAAGAUUAUCUUGUACAUUCCUCGUUGGUGGUCGGAAAAUUGAUGGCGAUUUUAAGGUGUGUCAUAAUGAAGUGACCUCAAAUAUUGUCAUUUGACAUCACAGAAAAGACCUUAACAAAAUGUUUAUUUAUCAGGUUCUUGACGAUUUAACUAUUCCAGACGAACUGGUGGACAUGUUCAUCUCGAUUCCCGAGGACAGGUUCCGAUUGGAUAUAUCAUCGACAGAGAUAAGAAAAAACCAUGGAAUUUGAGUCCAUUCCUACUUCUAGCUUUGGAAUGUGCCCUUUUGAUGCGUUAUUGUAUGCAUCAUUUUAUCCUUGUUUCUCCAAUAUUUCUGCUUUCAUCUGUUGAAUGGAGUAUCCCCCGCUAGGCCUUGGUACACUUUCAUUAGCUUCACUUGAAAAUCACUAGUUGUCUUAUGGGAAGUUACACCUGUGUGACCUAAGUGCGUCACCACCUGCAGCCAUUGAACGAAGUUUAGUACACCAUAUUUUGCAUUACUUACCUUACUGUGCGAUCUUAUCUUGUGAAAAAUUCCAUCUAUUUGACAUGUACAUAUAUCAUACCAGUAAUAUUGAAAUCUUAUGAGGAAAAUAGUUAACUGUGUUCUGUAAAUAGGGAUCACCUACAGGUUUUCAUUUAUUCUUCCCAGCAAGUUAAAAUACCAUAACAUAUUGUACUGAGGAUUCCAUCUUUGAUUGACUACAUCACAGGUACUGUGUUUAUACGUCCAAAUAGUAGAUUCAUCAAUAUAUAAGUUUGUCCUAUUUUCCUAUUUGGUUUAUUCUUGAUUCCUAACUUGGCAGUUUAACGCAAAUAUGGAAUCCUAGUUAAUUUCACCACACUUUCUCUCUUUUAGUAGUGUGGUAUGGCACUUCACUAUAAGCCUACUUACAAUAUCUUUUUUGCACCUUUCAAUCUUCACUGGGUUAAUUAGUCUCUACGAAGAAGUUUUCUGGCACCAUUAAUUUCCUGUAAUCUGCUCAAUUUUUGUUUGAGUAGAGUUUACAUGUUAUAAUAGCCUUCUUUAGUUCAUACUCUAGAACUCUUUGUCGUAUUGUGGGCAAUCUUCAUUAUCCUCAAGUGUGAUAAUGAAUGGGCUAUUACAUCUAGUGCCCAAUAACUCAAGUUCAUCCAUCUUUCUCAUUGCCUACCAGUGUACAACCAUGCUCUCGUGAAUCUUACGGUACUUGGAACUAGGGAAUCUUCAGAAACAUCCUACUGUUGUUGUGUGCCUUCUCAAGAAGACUCUCUUUAGAGCUGCACGGUAAGCUAUCAGUUAAAUAAUAUAGUGGGAACUUAUUCCAUGCUUCUUCUUUAUGGUUGCCUCAUCCUCAAUGGUGCCUUCUUGUAGCUUCAUCCUCCGAUAUGGUCUCCUUGCAAUGGACCACACUAUAUCUAUGAUUUGGGUUUUCAAUUGGUCCAUCAUGAAAUUUUAUCAUGGAAAGGACUUUGAAAUGUAAAUCUUGUUAAUGAGCCAUGCUAAUAUGUGAGAAAGUAAAGCUACACCCAGUGAAAAACCAAUACUAAUACCAGAUGAAGACUUAAAAGUUGUUCAAUCACCGUAAAAUUACAUUGAGAAAAUUCUAUUAUGUUUCAGCCCAAUAUAAGCAAUGUGAGGCAAACUGAUUAGUACCUCAAAAUUUGAGGCUCGUGGCCUGAAGGGAUAAAAAUAUUGACUACAAACAUCUGAAGGCCCAACAUGACUUGAAGCCUAAUAUCCAAGCCAAUGGCCCAAAAUUAUGUAAAUAUUUUUGCCUAAAACUUGCAACCUAGGUGGCUUGAAAGAGUAAAAAAGUGGACUACAAGCAUCUAAAGACUCAAAAUGACUUUCAGUCCAAUAUCUAAAUAGUUAGGUCCGAAAUGUGUAAGAAAUUAUAGAAUUGUAAUUGUUCUAUUUUUCAGUAGCUUUGAUAUGAAGGUUUAAAAUUCAUCUAAUUUAUUGUGAUUGUUAUCAAGUCAAGAGGUGAUAAAUAGUAAUAUUGUCUUUCUCUUUGAGAUAUUUCUAUUUUCUUGUGCAAUCAAGCAAUCCAUAUUUAAAUAAGAAACAUUAGGUUGAUUCUUAUGGAUUCAAGAAUUGUGAAAAAUAAAUCCUCAUUGAUUGAGAAAUUUGGUACCUCAAGGAUUCAAGGCCUGAUUUCUUUACUUCUUCAACUUUCUCUAUGCCAAUUAGUUGUCUUUUAGAGAUGAUAAUUUGAAUUUCAAUAAAUAUAUUUUGAAAUUUAUUCAAAUGAAUUGAAAUUUAUCUAAUCUUUAAAUAGAGUUAAAACAUAGCUUAGAUAUCAAGUUCAAUCUUGCAUUUAAGGGGGAGGUAUUUAAAUUUUUAAUUGGAUAAAAGGUUUUAUUUUUUUCAUAUUUCUUGUAGCCCUAACUUAUUUUUAAAGUUGACAUGAGUGUAAAUUUUAUUUGUGUAUCCUUUAAAUUUUAUUUAUAUUUUAGUUUUUGGUAAUAAGGCAUUGACAUUUUGAACUGAAUUUGUUCAUGAUGUGUGAAAGGUUGAUUCUUUAUAUUCUAGGUUUUCUUUGGAAACUAAGUUGUUAGCCAUUCUUUUUAGUCAAUCACUAAUAUUAUAUAUAUGAAGUUUGUCAACAUUAAGAGAAAGUAAUGUAGUUAAGAGUUUUUAUAAAAUGUAUGGAUCAUUUCAAGCAAACAUCAAUACAAAUAAAGUAAGCAUGUCUUCAUAAAAUUUCAGGGCAGUAUUAAACAUUUUUUAUUGUAGAAAAUUAUCUUAAACCCUAGAGAGAUGAAUCAGAACAUUCUAAUAAAACCAUCCAUAGUAUGUUCAUGUGUACUUGUUUUUCAAAUUUUUUUACUUAUAAUUAGGCAUCUUGAAGUUUGGUAUGUACCUGUAGCUUUUUACAUCAUAUCUAAAAGUUGGUAGAGAGGAGAAUGAAUUUCAAAAAUAGCAAAGAACAAGAAAAUUUUCUACUAUGUUGUGGAGAAAAUCAAGAGAAUCCUAAUUAUAGAUAAAAUAUUGUGAAAAAAAUCAAAAUGAAAUCAAGAAAAAUAACAAUGUCUAUGAGAGAAGUUACAAAUGAUGAUGGGAAAUCUAUUACAUAAUUCUUCUCUCUUCUCCAAUAAGAUUCUUAACAUUGAAAAAGGAUCUUAGAGUGUGCCAGGAAGGCUUCUUAACGUCUUCUUUUUUCUUCCCAUCGGAGUUUUUUCACAAAGACUCGCCAUAGUAAGGGGGAAGGGUGGAACAAGCAAAGCACACUUGUAGAGCGCAGUACAGCGGAGAUGUCCAAUACUAUUUGGUAGCCUUUUCUAUUAUUUAAUUUAGUAUAAUGUCUACUAUUUCUUCUCUUCCUUUGUCAACCACUUAUUUACUAAGGGGUUGUGCCAAGUGUUAAUCCUAUCUAAAUAGCACAUCAUGGG